Molecule: long non-coding RNA, 74839 nt
Filed under: Arabidopsis lyrata
Lineage: Eukaryota; Viridiplantae; Streptophyta; Magnoliopsida; Brassicales; Brassicaceae
Description: long non-coding RNA (ALYR_LNC002636)
Source: RNAcentral
UUUUCUUCUCCUCGCAAGCCUCAGCCAUCGGCUUGGAAAGCAACUUACGCUUGGCCGCAAGGGCCCGAGAUGACAUUCCCUGAGUUGAGGGAGGGGGCGGAAUUUGGUGAAGAUGACCAGGUGGACUCAUCCUGAGUUUGUGAUUAGCUUCUUGGAAUCGUUCAAGAGUGAAAGAAUUCCAAAGGGUUUCCCCUUCAAGAAUUAUUUUGAAGAAUUCGAUGAACUCUUCAGAUGGGAGAGUGGAAGCGAUGAAAGCUGCGAAAUGAAACAACGGUGUUAGUCAAUAAAGAUAAAGAAACAACCGGGAAAGAUACAGGCGACCUAAUCACUACCGGGUUUCGCAGACCACUUCGACGGGAGAAAAUCUGCAAGAUUUCCAAUCGAAGCGGGAGUUUUCUUAAUCAGAAACCAAGGAUGAUGCCAAUUUUCAUCCUUGUUCGGAAGAUGUGAAACGAUGUUCCUGUUGGCAUUAGGAUAUGCUGAGAAAUACCCCGUUUUCUUCGAUGAACUUCUCACGCUUAGAAGCUCAUUUAGUUCAGAAACUCCGACAACGUAACCGGCCUCCGCCGCGAUUGUCGUAAUUCCAAGAAUAGUACGGAGUAGAUUGGGGGUUAGUUGAGGAAGAGCGAUUUCAAGAGCCGCUAGGUAUAGAACUAGGGCUUCGGGAAGAGGAAAGGUCAGCCCGCAACCCUUGAAAUAAAUCUCGUAUACACAGAAGUAACCAUCGCGAUGGUUCUCUGGAGAUUCUGUGGGGGAAGCUAUUUGUGCUUCCGCCAUAAUUUCCGGCGGAAUCCGGCAAAGCUCUCUCAACCGCUCAAGGGAUUGAAGAGUACAAGUGGACCUGUAGUGCGGACCGGCAAUAUCAUCAGAGCGGGUGCACUCGUCGUUGCUAGAACGCCUCUCGUCGAAAGACGGAGACUCGGGUCUAUCGGAAUCGGAAGUCAUUGGAAAGAAGGAAAAAUUCAAGAUCCGGCGAAGAGGGUUUUUGGUGAAGGAACGAAGAGAGAGUUUUCGAUUAAAAUACAAAAGUAAAAGAAGAGAGUAAUGGUGAAAAGAAGUUACCUCAAGCUAAUGAUGAAACCGCCUCGGAAGUCGUGUGGGAAGUGAGAAGGUUUUUUCCGUUUUAAUAGUAAUUAAUCAAUAUACGGUCAUAAUGAUGACAGAUGUCACUCGGUUAAAAAUGGCUAGUGCCGAAAUUAAAGGAGUGAUGAGAUUUUCGGCGGGAAAUCAGAAAGAUUCUCGAGCGCAAUCUUUGGCCACUUGAGCAUUUAAAGUCCUCCGAAUUGGAAUAGCACUUCGAAGAACUUGGGGGGCUAAUUGUUGGUGUCGGAUCCCGCACUAGAUGUACGAGACCAACCAAAGAUUGCCACGUAAUCAAGAUAAUGGCCCAUAAAGGAUAAAGCCCAUUGAACCCGUGAGCCAAAGGGACGGUCGAAGUGGUUGUCACCAUUUCGAUAAUCCGAAGUGAUUGCACUGUGACACGAGUUCGGCGUAGAAGACACGGGUAAGUCGGUUCAAAGGCACUUGGGCCAAAGGAGGCGAGGCCCAUGAAGAUCAGAGUCAACUCAAAUUCAAACGUUGAGCAUUAAAGUCGAAGAAUCAAAACGGACACAUUUAAGAAGGAAUAAUUGUACUUAAUUGCUCAUUUUAAUGUCGUUUAUCUAUGUAUAAAUAUAGAGGCCAAUGGCCAUGUAAAGGGGGGCUUCCUCUCAAGAGAGAAAUACUAUAGCAAUUUUCGUAUCAAUUUAUAAGUUUUUUACAUAUUCAUUUUUGUCCCUCAAGAAUAACCUUUCCCACUUAACAAAAUACUUGAGUGUGUGAAUCCGACAUCCACACCUCCCACUUAUCCGCAGGGAGAGUACCAUUAAGGAUGUAUUCUCUGAUGGGUAUCCGCCAGUCUGCCCCCAAUCCAGAAGCGGUAGCGCUGGCGGUAGUGGUUCCGGAUUUAGCGGUGUUCCGAUUAGUGAUUCUUCUUCGGAGUUCUGCUCAGUUUCCUCGACCCUUUGUGGUUCUUGUUCCACACUCAUCCUUCUUUGCAUAGACCGUGUAGUCACGAAAUUCAGCUCUCCGGUGGCUAUACUGGGAUGUUCAAUUACUUCGACAGGGAUCAUUCGGCUCACUGUUACUUCGGAGCUCGACGCCAAUGCCGCUAAGGCAUCCGCUGCUGAGUUCUCACUUCGCGGAAUUCUAAUGAGUUCGAAACUAAGAAACUUUUUAUUUAAUUCCUGAACCUGAGCGAGGUAAGCUUCCAUUCUGCCAUCUUUUGCUUCAUAAUCGCCGGAAAAUUGAUUAGCAACGAGCUGCGAGUCGCAAAAUGCCCGUAAUUUUGUGACACCUAUCCCAACCGCUAGACGAAGUCCUGCAAGGAGAGACUCGUACUCCGCCUCGUUAUUUGACGCAUUAAAUGCGAGACAAAAUGACCUUUCAAUUACCUCACCAUAUGGGGAUUGUAAUCGAAUACCGAUCCCGGAACCCUGUCUUGAGGACGCGCCGUCCACAUGAAGUAUCCAAGGUCCUUCAUUUUCUUUGACUUCCACGGAGACCAGAGGUAGUUCGAUCAGAAAAUCUGCGAGGACUUGAGAUUUCAAGCUUGUCCUUGUUCGGAACUGAAUAUCAUACUCGCUUAGCUCAAUUGCCCAUUUAACCAAUCUUCCUGACUGACUCGGACUAUGCAAAAUUGCCCUUAUAGGUUGCGUGGUUAGGAUAAUAACCGUAUGGGACUGAAAAUACGGUCUUAAUUUCCGAGCCAAAGUAAUUACUGCCAGAGCUAACUUUUCCAUCAUCGGAUAUCUUGACUCCGCUCCCGAAAAAGACUUGCUUACAUAGAAAAUCGGUUUUUCGUCGCUCCGAUCCAAUCGCACUAACACUCCACUUACUGCGCUGUCAGAAACCGAUACGUACAAGAAAAGCUCUUCUCCGAACUCGGGUUUCGCUAACACAGGAGGUUUGGACAAAUAAUCUUUUAGAUCUUUGAAAGCCUUUUCGCAAUUCUCAUCCCAGAUGAAAUUCUUGUUUGCUUUUCGGAGCAGAUUAUAGAAUGGAAGGCACCUAUCGGUUGACCUCGAGAUGAAUCGGUUCAAAGCUGCUAUCCGCCCCGUGAGUCGCUGAACUUCCCGGAUGUUGCGAGGCGAAGUCAUCGCCAGAAAAGCGUUCAACUGUCACGGAUUAGCUUCGAUUCCACGCUCCGUGACAAUGUAACCCAAAAACUCUCCCGAAGGAACUGCAAAAGUGCACUUGGUCGGGUUCAAUUUCAUUCCGAACUUAUUCAAAAUUGCGAAGCACUGCUCUAGAUGCUCAAUAUGCGAAGUGCUUGAUACUGACUUCACCAACAUAUCGUCAAUAUACACUUCCAUCGUUUUACCGAGGAGAUCUUUGAACAUCAUAUUCACCAACCGUUGAUAAGUGGCUCCGGCAUUUUUCAACCCGAACGGCAUGACUAUAUAACAAUAAGUUCCACGGUCCGUGAUGAAAGCUGUCUUUUCCUGGUCUUCUGGAUUCAUCAAAAUCUGAUUAUACCCGGAAAAAGCAUCCAUAAAGGACAUCAUUUCGUGGCCCGUAGUUGACUCCACAAGUCGGUCGAUGUGCGGAAGUGGGAAACUGUCUUUGGGACAGGCUUUAUUAAGGUCGGUAAAAUCUACGCAAACCCGCCAUUUCCCAUUUUUCUUCUUGACUACAACAGGGUUUGCCAACCAGUCCGGAUAUUUGACCUCGCGAAUCAAACCGGCAUCGAGCAGUCGCUGAACUUCGGCAUUUACAGCCUCGGCUCGGCCUGGACCAAGUUUCCUGCGUUUUUGUUUUACUGGUUUGAAAGUCGGGUCAAUGUUGAGCUCAUGCGAAAUGACCUUUGUAUCGAUCCCAGUCAUCUCCUCGAUUUUCCAGGCGAAAGUUUUUUGAUUCCUUUUUAGGAAAGUUAUCAGUUCGGCUCGGAGUGUUUCGCUUAAUCCCGCUCCUAUUCUCACAGUUUGAUCCGGAUACUCCUCAUUAACUACCACUGCCUCCACGAGGUCACUGCUUAUUUUUUUUACGGGAUUUGCAGGCACCUCGAACUGUGGUUGCUAUUGAAUUUUAAGCUUAUGACUGGACAUGUAACACAUCCUCGCGGCUCGCUGACUUCCCAGGAUUUGCUUUACUCCGGACUUCGUAGGGAAUUUCAAGCAUUGAUGAUACGUUGAAGGUACUGCUUUCAUCUCAUAAAUCCAGGGUGUUCCCAAGAUAACAUUAUAAGCAGCCGGACGAUCGAACACCGUGAACUCAAUCAUUUUGACUAUGCCUUCUGCGCAUACCGGGAGCACAAUCGUUCCUAAUGACAUUGAAGUUUCGCUAGUAAAGGAAACCAAAGGAGAUGGUGGCCCCCUUAUAUCUUGCUUCGAUAUCCCCAUUCUUGUCAGAGUAUCGAGGAAAAUUAAAUCCACCGAACUCCCAGUAUCAAUGAGAACCCGAGACACUUCGCGAUGCGCAAUAUCGAGUGUUAUGACCAGAGCAUCGUCGUGUGGUUUGUCAAGUUGACUUGUUUCUCUUUCGGAGAAUGUUACUUCGGGUAAUUGUUCCUCAGUAAGUCUGGCCUUCUUGAUUAUCGGGGUGGUUACCCUCCGUUCGUGUUGCUUGAUUGCACUAAUGGAGUCUCGAAAUAGCUUGGAUCCCCCCAUAAUCACCUGGAUUUGCUUCUUCGGUCCUUUAAGAACAUCAGGGGACUGGAUCUUUUUGGUUUUUUUGCUAGGAGGAGACGGUUCCUCCGUUGCUAAUGUUUGCUCCGACGGAUGAGUUGGCUCGAGCUCCGAAAUAUCGAUUUCGGUUAUUUCCCCGGAUGCGAACUUGGCAGCCAGUAACCUUCCUAGAGCCUUGCAAUCUUUCGUAGCAUGCCCAUUGACUUUGUGGAUCUCGCAGUAUGCGUUUGGGUCACGAAUCCACUUGUUACUCGGGAAAGCGCCGUUUUUGCUCUUUGGCGAGAAAGACUGCUUCGCAGGCGAAUUCUUCGGAGAAACUUUUGGCUCCUCCCGACCCACUGAGAAUGUGCUAGCUCCAGGCUUCCGAACUUCAGGUUGAACAGGUAUCUUCUGAGGAAGAAGUUGAGCAGGUUUCGGAGCUGCUUUAAACUUUUUUGCUAGAGCGGCCCGCUCUUCUUCUGCGUUUAUCCAGUUCAUUGCCCGAUGGAGGGCGUCUUGAAUAGUGGCUGGUCGGUUAACAACCAACUCUUCUCGGAAAUGGGAUUCGUGCCAUAGACCGUUCUUGAGUGCAGCAAUUGCUGCGGAAUCAGACAGAUUUGGGAUCUGGACCAUAAUCUCUUUAAAGGAGGUGAUGUAAGUCCGGAGCGGCUCUCCGGCUCCCUGUGAGAGGUUCCACAGCUGGGCAUCAGUUACAUCGCUCUUGAUGAAGUAUCCGUACUGCAUGAUGAAAGCAGUGGAUAGUUGCUUGAAGCUAUCGAUCGAUCCUUCUUCUAGUUGAGUAAACCAGGUCAAAGCCGGCCCGGAUAGGUUCUCGGCGAAGAGCUUGCAUAAGCCUGCGUCUACUUCGUUUGGCUCCAAAUGUACCCGACCUACGGUCACCUGAAAAGACGCUAAAAAUUCUUUGGGAUCUCCCUUACCAUCGUACCCAGGAAGCUUGACCUUCCUUUGGUCUCGAAUUCGCAGGGCUACAAUUCGUGGAGUAAAAGGAGUCCUUCUCGUCUCCUCGAUCACUCUAUCGACUUCGGGAGCCGAACUGGUGGCUUGAUGAACCCUCGAACUCAUUUCCCGAAUCUGAUUUUGUAAGCUCUGGAUUUCCGGGUUGACCGGAAGGUGAGGUGGAUGGGACUCGGUUUGAGGAUGAUGCGGGGUGCUGCCAAGAUGAAUGGGGAGAGGUGUUCUGGCUGGAACAAAAGGACCGCCGGCCGAAUUUGGAGGUGCUUGAGCAUGACGGGAUCCAUCUCCAGGUUCACUCUGAGAGCCAAGAGGCAAAGAAGAUGGGAGUACGUUGUUCGGGGAAACGAGUCUAGGAUCCUGAACCUCCGAAACGUUUGGACCAUGAAAGUCCAAAUGGCCGCGAGGUCCGCUGGUCCGCAAAGUUCCUGCAAGAAUUGUAUCAACCCGAUCCGCAUAAGCAUUAUGGGCUGACCUGAUUUCGGAAAAACUCGCUGUGAGGACUGCGAUUUGGCUGCCGCUUUGCUCUUCAGACGCUGAAAGCUUCUCAGACAACGCAGUGGUGGCGAGCUGCUGCUGGUCGGUCUUCUCGGACAGAUCUUUAAGCAACUUCUUGAUCUCGUCGAGGACUGAAGCCGGAUCCGCUAUGUCUGACAUCUUUCCGAUUGAUAUUCUGGAGUAAAAGACUAGAAAUCCCCUCCUUCUAGCGCCAAAUUGUGGAUGUCGGAAUCCGCAAUACAAAUUUUAUGAUGUGUAUCGGAUCGUCUAGCCUUGCUAAUUCGAACAGCAAUCGUGAGAAGAAAACAAGAGAGUAAAGUGUGUGUAUUUGUUUAUUGCUCAAGAAAAAUCCCCCCCAUUACAAUGGUUUUCGUUUCCUAUUUAUAAUUACAAGAUUUGAAACCGAAGUCGCUCGUCAAGCCGCAGAUCUCGCCCUCAUUAUUGCUUCCGUUUCGAAUCUUCCCGAUCUAGCAGAUCCCGUGCAACCUGCCUUUCAUUUAACUCGUGGGAUCCCGACGUUUUACUCGAACUGGGCUUGAACUUAUUGGGCCGCUCUUUUCGUCCCCUGGACCGGGCCGACGGCCCACUUCGUCUUAUUGAUUCACUAUCUUUCCGGGCCGGAUCCGAACUGCGGGAUCCGACACCAACAGUAAGGGUGUUUUAUUUUAAGUGGAGACUCGACACAUUCUUUGUGAUACAUUUGAUUACAAUAAUCACAGAAAUAAUAAUCAGUACCAAAAUAUGAGCCAUCGCAUGCACUACAUCCACCAUUGACAUCAAAUUCUUUAUUGUUGCACCAAAACAAAGGGAGUACUGAAUGAUCAUCAGCGUCAUAUAAAAAAACGAUGUAACUUAUCAUAGAACCGAAUGGGAGAUUGGUAAUUGAAGAAAGGUUUAUGGUAAGUGGAAAGUCUUUUUUCCAUUGUGUUCUAGGACAUAAGAAAAAAGGUUGAAGAAGGGUAUCAUCGCUACUGGCUGUUUCACCGGCAGAGGUUGGACUUCGAGUUUGUGGUAUGGGAUGGCGAUAUACCAAGGAUAAUUUACCAUCUUUCUCCAUCAUAUGAAAUAUUCCACAAUCAUUAUCCAUGGUAGCUCCCGGUCUUUCUUUAUUGUAUCUCUGUUAAGGUCUUUUAAAAGUGUUGUUAUACAAAAAUCAAAUGUUUAACAAUCCAAUACAUAUGAAAAUGAUUUGAUUCUUAUAUAAUGUGAAAACGAAGUGAGCUUUGUUCUUUUCUUUGUAGUUUUCAUAAUGUUCUUUCCAUGCAAAUAAAGAAUCAACUUUUCUUUGCCUAUGGUUUUCGUCUCGUAUGAAAAAGUCCUGCUAUGCAAGAUAGUUGAUUAAUGGAUGAUUAACGUGUAAACGAACGUCGAUUUUUGCUUUCCACGUACAUAAAGAAUCCAACUUUUCUUCCCAUAUAGCUUUCGUCAUUUCGGAUUAAUCACAUACCCACUUCAAGGCAUCUCUACCGUCGAAUUUGGAUCUCCCCGUGGUCUCCCACGAUUUGGCUCUGAAUAUUAUCUUGCAAAGCACAAUCAUAUGGUAAGGAGCAGCGAGACGGUGGAAAUGUGCCUUUUAGAUGGCUCAGGAUUAUUUGGUUGUUUGGUUCGUUUAAUGUUGUCCAGAGUUUAACUCGGUCACCAAAAUGUUUAAAACAUGUAUCAGCCAAGUACAUGAAAUCUUUCCUUCAAAAUUCGAAAGAUGAAAUUAGAGAUUAUUUUGAUUGGUCUGAUUUUAUUUAAAAUUCUACAGAUUCUAUUUGACCACUCAGUGCAUCUCGGGGCUCAGCCAACUUUGAAACCGGUUUUCGAGUUCUUGAGGAUAGUCCAAAUGGUUCACCGUCACAAAUGGUUUGAUCCCUGGAUACAUUUACCAUCUAGUUAAAUCUUCAGAAAAUAUUAGUUUUGAUGAUUAGUUCAAAUAAAAAUAUUAAUUACGAGUAAGAAUAGUUAAAGACAAACAUUUUUACCUCUACUAAUGAGAGCGUCGAUUAAUCUGUUGUAAUACGUUAUUCCUGAAUAAUUAAUACUUCCAAAUCUUCCUCCUGUCUCCCAAGAAAACAAACCUUUUAACUGAAUAACCGAUUUCCAAACCAAUUGAUUAAUGGUAGAAGGUAGAUUACUUUUGAAAAUAUGUACAGUACUAAGUAGCCAAAACUUACUCUUUUUAGAAACAAUUUCACAAACGAAAUAUCAAAAAUCGUAAAUAAAUUGGUUCAUUUACCCUUUUUUAUUAUUAUUUUUGAGACCUAAUGAAUUCCUCUUGCACGAAAUUGGUUCAUUUAUCAUGUGUAUUUAGUAUUUACUAUUAUUUCGCAAAUAUCAUGCUAUUUUAUAUGAUAUAUCAUGUUAUCUUUUAAAAUCACAAAAAAUGCAUCAUUUAUUUAUGGUCUUUGCCUUACUUUUUUUUUUUCUUUUUUGCUAAUUUUCUAGCAAAUUUAGUUAUCUGGCAAAUUAACUUGUUUUUUUUAACCGGUACGAAUAUAUUUAUAACGAAAUUAGUAAUAAUCAAGUCAUCAUGAUAUUUAAAAAAAAAAAAACAUCUUACUUGGUAAGACUCUAGACCAAGAAAUUGAAAAUCUGUAACUGUUGACCCCAAGCGAAGUCAUUAAUUGGAUGUCCUCCUGUAACCAUUAGUAGACACAAUAAAAUUAAUCACAUUUCCUAAGUAGAAAAAAAAAACACAAAAUUAUUAUUAGAAAGUUAUUUGACCAUAAAUCGAUGGUAUUGAUCCACAGCCAUGUCUCCAUUGUUCUCAUCACGUAUUUUGCCUGUAUAUUUUGCAAUUAAAUUUUUUAUUAAGUAACUAAUUGUUAUAAUAUUCAUACAGAUAUAGAUUAACACGUAUAUAUUAGCAGCUACUACUAUGUCAACAACAUACAUGACGACUAGUUGUCCUGAUGACCUGACAUAUAUAUUAAACCUUAAACCUGUAUUGGUAAUGGGAUUGACGAAGCUAAUCCAAACACCAGAACAAAGUAGUUUGGAUUAGUUGUAAUUUUACAUUUGUUCAUGAUUUUCUCCUAACUCAACAAUCUUAACCGAAACUAAACCGAAUCAAACUAGAAAUCAAUACAUACCAGGAUAUUCAUGCGUAAAUAUGUCCCAAUUGUUCAAACCUUUUCCUUCGGUCAAGAAAGCACCUUCAUACUAUUUACAUCAAAUAAUAUACCAAAUAAGAAAAGCAAGAACAAGCAUUAACAUAAACUGAAAUUCGAAUUUGACUCCAAAAUCUGUGUUCUUUUUUUUUUUUAAGUAGAGGAACAAAAGAAGAAUUACCUGGUACGCAGAAGAAGCAGUGCCAAAGAGAAAAUCAGAAGGAAAUGGAAAUGAAUCUCCUAAAAUGUUCUCUGAAGAACUUUGAUUAAUACAUUAAACAUUAAGCUUUGUAAUAAAAUGGCCAAUAGGAAAAUCGAUAAGUUUCCCAUUUUGUCUGCCUCUCUCGUGUUUGAGUUUGCCUUCUAACUUUUGGUGUUGUCUUCUGUGUCUAUAUGCACUUUAUAUAUUAGCAAAAUAAUUAAUUAAACUAAAUCCUACCAAUUCAAAAUUCUAUAUUUUCUUUUAGGUAACAUCUUUUUUUUAUUAAGGAUUUAGUUUUAGCUAGUUAGUGAUUUUGAUGAUUUAGAUAUUAGUUUGUAAUUAAUUUUGAUGGUUUUGACUUUUAAAUAUUUUUCUUAUUUUGCGACCUUAUAAAAUAGGUUCAAGUUCAACCCCCGGCCCAUAUUAAAAUAACUGUAAACCAUGUAUAAACAAUAAAUAAAUGCAUACCAUAGGAAUUGCUCAACCACUCGGCUUUUUUCUGGCAAAAUAUAUUGAGUAGAAUACUAUCACCUAUACAUGUAACGUAAAAAAUGAGUUUUAAUGUUCAUUAUAUUCAGUAACAGUCGAUAUCAAUACGACUAGCGAUGGUGACCGCAACAACGAUUUAGUCACUGCAAAUAUAAGUUGACAUUUGUCUUUGAAAUUUGCAAAACAAACAUAAUUUCAGUAGGUGAACCUUCCAUCUUUUUAGUCAAUCGCAUUAUUCUUAACAAAACUCUACAAAAUAUAUAAGAGGGAAGUCAUGACAGAGUUUGUUGAUUAAAAUGAUUAUCGGCCUCAGCAUGAGAAACUGAAACAAUUCAUCAAUUAACUAGGCAAUGUACCUUUCUAUUUAUAUUCUUGAUUGCGAACAACAAUUAUUUCCAUAAAACAAUUUAAAUAGAUGUGUACCCGAAUUUUCUUGUACACUGAUUUUUGUAAUAAAACUGUUGUGCAAGAUUAGCAAACCAAUUAUUUACUUAUACCAUACACAAUACACAUCCAAACAAAAAAAUGAGAAGCUUUUUAACUAAGCCUUCCUAAUUUUGACUUCCUUUGAUUGUAAACACUAAUUCAUUAUUAGUUUAUCUACAUAUUAUUUUUCCCUGUUAUCUCCUAUAUUACCGUGCUGUUCAAUGAAGUUCUUGUACCAUGAAGCUGAUUGCUUUGGUGUCCUUUUCAGAGUUGUAUAAUCAACAUGGAAUAAACCAAAUCGAAGCUUGUAUCCGUACAACCAUUCGAAAUUAUCUAAUAGUGACCAUGCGAAAUAUCCCUUCACAUUUGCUCCAUCCCUACAACAAAGUUCACACUAAUUAAUUAUAUCUUAGAUUCAAUGUCUCUUUUUUUUUUGAGCAAAAGAUUCAAUGUCUCUAUGUCUUUAAAUUCAAUGAAUAUAUAUGAAUUGGUUUAUCAACUAAUUAAAUAUACAAUUCACAUACCUCAUUGCUUCUUUCAAAGCAUCCAAAUAUCCACUCAUGUAUUGUAUCCUUUUUGUAUCAUCCAGAAGUUCUUUAACCGUCGUCUCGGGUUUUUGCAAGGUUCCGAAACCUACAAACCAUUGAUAAUUAUUGUUCAAAUACAUUUUUUAAAAAUAUAUGUAAAUAACCCAAAAGCUUGAGGUAAUUGUACCAUUUUCUGUGAUGAACAUUGGCAUGUUGUGGUACCUAUUUUUAAGGUAAUUUAACAUCUUCUUGAAACCGUCAGGAUCAAUAUGCUGCCAAUUGACGUCAGUCUAUCAUGUACAAAAAACCAAGCAUUUCAAAAAUAAUGUUAGAAAACACAAUAAUGUACUGGAGAGUCCAACAAAAACUUCAGAAAAUAUAUAUACACAAAUGGACUUACAAGUUCACCGAUUGAAACAUUGCCUUUCCGGUCUAAUUUGAGGGCGAAUCCUUCGCUUUUAGAAGCUCCAUUUCCAGAUCCAGAAUUACAAGCAGUGAUCAAACAAUCUUGGAUGAAGUAACUUGUGUAGUGAUUAAUACCCAAGAAGUCUGAUUUGUAAUUCUUUAUGCUAUUCAUUUCAUUACUCGAAAAUCUCGGCAAAGCUGAGCCAAGUAUAUUUACCAUUUCUUCCGGAUACUUCCCAUAUACAACGGGAUCUAGAAUCCUGAUAUUUAGUACACAUUAGACAAGAAAACAUGAAUAUGUGAAUUAUACAAACUCAUAUAUGAUGAAUAUUUGGGUCUGACUUGUUAUAAUAUAACAUACCAAUUUGAAUAAAAUGAUUGAGCUCUCUCGGCAGCAUUUUUAUCCACAAUCGAAUCACUUAUGGGUUCAAACCAUGAUGUUUGUACCACAAUGCCAAUGAUUCCCCUUUGUUCCUUCUACAAAAAAAUUGUAAUAUAUCAAUAUAAUACGUACAAAUAUAUAUAUAGUUAAAAUCAUAUAGCUAGAUAGUAUAUUGGUUAUUGUUACUUGAUAUUUGGUUCGGUAUAUUUGAAUCGCCUUUGCAUGUGCGAGGAUCAUAUUAUGAGCGGCUAUAAACGGCUCAGUUUCCGAGUUCCCCUGAGUACAAUUUCCGUAUGGCAUGGAGCACCGGGAUGGUGGAAAUAAACCACUUCGGUAGGCUAAGAUUAUUUGUUGGUUUGGUUCGUUAAUCGUGAUCCAGUGUUUAACUCGGUCUCCAAAAUGUUUAAAACAUAUAUCAGCUAAGUACGCGAAAUCUUUCCUGAAUUAAAAACACUUAAGGAAUUAGUUUUAGUUAUGGUAAAAUAGUUAGAGACUUAGGAGGGGUUAUUGGUUCAUAGAUUUAUAUGGAAUUAGAAAUCCAAACAAAAAUCAUUUGUUAUUCAAUCAUUGAUUUUAAAAUCCUAAUUAAAUUCAUGUGUUAUUGGUUCUAUGAUUUAUAAAUACUAGUUAAAAUCUUAUGUUAUUCGUUUAGUCAUUUGUUUUUAGAUUUGAGAAUCCAAAUUAUGUUUUAAAUGGAAUUGAAUGGAAUUGAAAGAGAAAAAUAGAAGGAUUCAAAUCCAUGGGUAAACACAUGUUAUUUCAAAAUCCAUAUAUCUUGAUUUCAUAAUUAAUAGAAAUUUUCAAAUUCUAUAUGAAUUUACAAAUUAACAAACUAAUAACACCCCCUUAAUUUAUAAACUCACUGCAUCUCGGAGCUUAACCAACUUUUGAACCGGUUCUCGAGUUCUUGAGGAUAGUCGAAAUGGUUCAACGUCACAAAUGGUGUAAUCCCUGUAAACAUGUACAUGAAACAUAGUAAUUUUUGAAGUUAAAUCUCUGUAUAUAUUUAAUGCUUCAUUAGAUACUAAACUAAAAAUUAAGAAGAAGGGAGAGUAAAUAUUACCUUUUCUAAUGAGAGCGUCGAUCAAAUUGUUGUAAUACUUUAUUCCCUUAUAAUUAAUACCUCCAAAUCUUCCAUCUGUAUUUUCCCAAAUGCAAAGGUAUUUUAAUUUCAACCAAAAGAAAAGAUACACAUUUUAAAGUUUAAACAUUUUGUUUCCGGUUUAGAUAUCUGAACCAAUCGAUUGAUGGUAGAAGUUUAAAUUUAACCGAAUUUAAUUAUUACAAUCAUGAUUAAGAAAAUAAAGACUUACUAGGUAAGACUCUAGACCAGGAAAUUGAUAAUCUGUAACUGUUGACUCCAAGAAAAGACAUUGAUUGGAUAUCUUCCUGUAAUCACAUAUAGUAGAUAGAUGUCAAUAAAAUAAAGAAGAAGAAAACAUAUAAAGUGGAUAAUUUAUCCAUUAAAUAAAUAUAUAUUAGAAAAAGGUACAAAAUAUUAUAAUGAAAAUUUUUUAACCAUAUAUCGAUGAUAUUGAUCCGUAGCUAUGUCUCCAUUGCUCCCAUCAACUAUUUUCCCUGCAUUUUUAAUAAAAUAUUGUCAAUGGAAUCAACAUGGCAUUUAUAAGAUGAAAACUUUUUCGAGAACCAAUCAAAGAAAGCUAAAUUGUAAUUUAAUUUAAAUAUGAUAUGCAUGGAUAUAUAAAUGACUACAAACUUAAUUUGAACCCAGAACUAAACCACAAGACUCAUUCAAAACAUAAAAAUUGUUUAGCUUAUUAUCUAAACCAAAACAAAAUUGGAUGAAAAAAAAAAUCAACUUAAAGUCCAAGUUAGUUCAAUUUCGACAUUCUUCAAGAUUCUCUCCAAACCAAACUAACCAUAGACAGAAUUUAAAAUAAACACAUACCAGGGUUUUCAUGGGCAAAGACAUCCCAAUUGUUCAGACCUUUUCCAUCGUUUAAGAAGGCACCUUCAUACUAAAUAUGUCAAAUAAAAAACAAAAACAAAAAUUAUAAAUUGACUCCAAAAUCUGAUUACAUGCAGAAAUAUAAAAAGAAAGAAAGAAACAAAAAAAAAGGUACCUGGAAAGCAGAAGAAGCUGUGCCAAAGAAGAAAUCAGAAGGAAAUAGAGAUGAAUCAUCUGAAGUUUGAUGAAGACAUGAACUGUAAAGAGGAAACAAUAAGCUUUGUAAUAAAAACGGAAUUGCAAAGUUGGCAAAACUUUUCAUCUUUUUUUUUCUCGUGUAUGUCUUCUGUGGUUUUGGUGUGUGCUCUUAUCUAUACGUGUCUAUAUUUAUAUGAAAAUUUCAGAAUAUUUUAAAUGCAUUAUUGAGAUUUUGGGGGCAGUCUUGUCUACUAUUUUAAAAUUCCCCAAUUUCUACCUACUGAAUAUAGACAAAGCAUACCAAAUUUUUACAUAUAUAUUAUAACCAAAAAGCAUCUGCACAUGCAUUAUCAUAAAGUUUAUAAGAAAAUCAUUAAAAUUUAAUAUAUGAACGUGUGCCUAUAACAACUCCAUCUAAUUUCGUACGUUAAUAUUUCACUGAUUUUACUUUCUAGAUAUAUAACGCUGAUUAUUAUUAUAUAAAAUAUAAAAAUAUGGACGUCAGAUAGUAAAAAUAUAUAAAUAAAAAUAUCAUGACUAUAAUUUAUAGCGUAAUAGUUUGUAAUAUUGUUGUUACUAUGCUUCGGAUUCAAAAUCCAUAUAUUUCAUGUUAUUGACCGUGUGAAACAUUAAUUAAUUAAUUUACUGAUAUAUAACUCUUUAACGACAAACAUGUUCAUUAAUAAAUGUCUUAAUUCUUAAAUAUUACUCGCGUGUCAAAUAUUUUAAUAUCCGUCGCCAUAAUUUACAAUUCUAUGGCACGAGUCACACGACUAAUUUAUAACUUUUAUCUUUUAUUAAACGACUAAAAUCCUUUGCAACAUACUAAAAAGGCAAGUAAAAAGAAAAAACUUACGGUUUCGUACAAGAAGUUGUAGUGCGGCGGAGAACGUUGACUGGUUUGGUGAAGGGGUUGGUGAUCUGGCGGCUGAGGAUAGGUCUCGUGACGUGGCUACUCCUAGCUUCAUAACUAUCGUCGGAAGUUUCGUAUCUCAACUUACUUCUUUUGAAGUUUCCAGUCUCUGAAAGAAAAUCGCAGAACAAGGUUGCGUACACCAUAAGAAAUAUGAAAAAUAGGAAAGAAAAAAUGAUGAUUCUAAUAGCAAUAGGUUUAAAAAAUAUCAUCUUCUUCUUCUUAUUAUUCAACUCUAUAGCUGUUUUUCUUUUCUUGAUUCUAGGUUACUAGUAUAUCUGUUUUCUUUCCUAGGUCUUUAUAAUACAGCUGUAUGAAGAUUAAUUCAAAGAAAUUGAAGAUAUCAGCGAUGGAGACCAUAUACGAUUAACUCAACCACGCAAGGUUUUGAAAUUUUUAAUUCUCGAUUAACAAUAUUGCAAAGAAACAUAUAUUUUUAUUUUUAGAUUAAUAAACCUGAUUUGUCAUGACUAAGUGCGCGUUAUACAGUUUAUAUGGCAACGAAGUUGACUUCUAUACACCUAGAAACGAUCUUGUCGUGAAAAGACCAAAGGAAUUCAUCAACCACGCAACCAUUUAUAUAUGUAAUUGUUGAUUCCGACCCAUUUUGCUUAUAUGUAAUUGUUGAUUCCGACCCAUUUUGCUUAUAUGUUAUUUAUGUUAUCAUCAUUUGUUCGUGUGUCUUUUUCUUUAGAUUGUUUAAUGGCUCAUUGUGUAUUUGAUUAAAUUGAUAGUCUAUAUGUAAUUGACUAACUGUAAGCAAUAACUCACAGUUAGACAUUACGUAGAUGAUUUAUUUUUCAGAAUAGAAAUGUUCAAAACUUUUCUAUUCAACCAAUAAAAGUGUAUGGGUAGUUUUGUAAAUUAAAUAGAAAUGUCGUGACUCAUACUUGAAACAUGAGUAUUUCGCAUAACAAUAUUGAAGGAAAAUUGCCAACAGAAAAAUUUUCGGUGUGUUUUACCAAAAACUUAUCUUACAUAAUUUGAAGCGAAUUAAAAUCUUAACAUAUAUCAACGUUAAACCGUAGACAAAAAAAAAAACACAGAUCGUUUUAUCACUAGGUAUUUUUUCUUUCAUUUUGUCAUUUAUCAGUUAGUUUAGUGAUUUUAUUUUAUAUUUUUAAUAUUUUUUUAUCUAAAAAUUAAGAAGAAUCUAGCUGAACAGUAAAACAGUGAUGCAUGUCGCGUCUAGAAUUCACACUUUUUUCUUGAUUGCGCAUUUUAGUAUGAACAACAUGAUCUCCAAAAUUAAAUUUGGAGGUGAUGUCAAAUGCUUUAUAUUGUGAUUUUUAAUCUAAAACAGUUUUGUUUAGUUUUGUACUACUUUUGAUUUAAAACUGUUAUCUUAGAGAAGUUUUUGUUUCAGUUUUCGUUGACAACGUGUUGAUUUUUUUGUUUUUUUUGAUAAAGUAAACGUGUUGAAUUAUUACUGGGCAAGAUUAGACAAUUAGUCCCGUAACACAUUAAACAUUCACUUUAAGCUAAAGAAACAUUAGUCAUUCAUUCAACAAUAAUGAUAAGUUUUGAAUUCUUCUAGUUUGACUUUAUUUGUUUAAGAAUACACAUAAGUUUUCUUCCUUUGACCCAAAAAAAAAAAAAAAACCUAAGGUCUCUUCUAUUCACGCGUUCUUCAACAGUUAAGCUAAUAAAAUUAUUGUGCAAGAUUAGACGAAUAAUCAUGUAAGUAUGUAACACAUUAAACUUUUAGGAGAAAAAAGACAAAUUUAAUCAUUCAACAAUGAUAAGUUUAAAUCUUAAAAUGCUUUUUGUAGUUUGACUUUUUUUUGCAGUGAAUACGAAUUAAAAACUUAAUGUAUUUAUUGAUUAUCUACGACUACGAGAUCUCUUCGAUUCACGUGUCCUUCGAUAAAGUUUUUGUACCAUGAAGCUGAUUGUUUCGGUGUUCUUUUAAGUGUUGUCAGAUCCACAUGGAAUAGACCAAACCGAACCUUGUAUCCGAACAACCACUCAAAAUUGUCUAAUAGUGACCACACAAAAUAACCCUUCACAUUUGCUCCAUCCCUACCAAAACAAAAUUCACAACUUAUAUAGAAUUAGUAAAUUGACAGUAGAUAAAAUGAUCAAAAUAUAACUAAGAAAUGAAUUUCUCCACAAAUUUACGUAAAUUCUUUACCUCAUUGCUGCUUGUAGAGCUUCUAAGUAUCCACUCAUGUAUUGAAUCCUUUUUGUAUCAUGUAGAAGUUCUUUAUCUGUUGUUUCAGGUUUUUGCAAGUCUCCAAAACCUUCAAGUUAAUAAUAAUUGUUGAUGAUGAUUUCAAAUAUAUAUGGAUCAGGAACUCGAUAUCAUUGGUUAAAUUUGAGGUCUUGUACCGUUUUCGGUUAUGAAAAUCCGUAUGUUUGGGUACCUAUCUUUUAAAUAAUUCAGCAUCUUGUGAAAUCCUUCUAGAUCAAUAUGCUGCCAAUCUACAUCGGUCUAUCAUACAAAAAAAGAUGGUCACUGAUGGAAACAAUAAAUGCAUUAAAAGUUUAAAACAUUAGAAUAUAAUCGCAAAUAUAAAAAGAGAACCUAUGAAUGAAUGUACUUACAAGUUCUCCAAUAGAAACAUUGCCUUUACGGUCUAAUUUAUGGGCAAAUCCUUCGGCCUUAAAAGCUCCAUGUCCGGUAUUACAAGCAGAGGUCAAACAAUCUUGAAUGAAGUAACUUGUAUAGUGAUUAAUACCGAUGAAAUCUGCUCUCGAGUUCUCUAAGUUCUUCACUUCAUUGCUCGAAAAUUGCGGCAAGGCUGGUCCAAGAAUAUUUACCAUUUCUUUUGGGUAUUUCCCAUAUAUAACGGGAUCGAGAAUCCUAGUAUGUUAGAAUACAAAGAGAUAAGACAGUAGGGACUUCGGGCUUGAACUUCGGACUUGCCCAUUGGGAGGGAUCUCUUCUCCAAAAGAGAUGAAUUUAACCUGGUGUGGAUCCCGCCUCUGGAAAAUGUAGGGCUUUCGGGCUUGAACUUCCAGAUAUUCAAAAAAGAAUGAAAAAUAAAAAAGAGAUAAGACAGUAAAUAUUACAUAUGUGGGUGAACUAUACUUCAUAUCUAGAAUAAUAUGGUUUCAUAUAUAGUAAUAUAACAUACCAAUUAGAGUAAAAUGAUUGAGCUCUCUCAGCAGCUUCUUUAUCCGCAUUGGAUUCACUAAUGGGUUCAAACCAUGAUGUUUGUACCACAAUGCCAAUGCUUCCCUUUUGUUCUUUCUACAAAAACAUUAUAUUUAUAUCGAUAAUUCACGAAAAUCAGUUUUAUGUAUUCCGCUUUAUUACCUGAUAUUUGGUCUGGUAUAUGUUAACCGCUUUUGCGUGUGCAAGGAUCAUGUUAUGCGUGGCUAUGAAAGGUUCGGUUUCGGAAUUUCCCUGGCUACAGUUCCCGUAUGGCGAGGAACAACGAGACGGUGGAAAUUUACCUGUUAGAUAGCCUAAGAUUAAUUGUUGAUUUGGUUCGUUAAGCGUGGUCCAGUAUUUAACUCGGUUUCCAAAAUGCUUGAAACAUAUAUUGGCUAAAUAACCAAUUCAUUCCUAUCAAAAUAACAAAAAAAAAAAAAAAAAAGUAGUGUUCAUAAUUAAGAUCAUUUCCAUUGCAAGAAAAUAGGGUUAAUUAAUUGGUAAUUCUGUUUAACCACUCACUGCAUCUCGGGGUUUAACCAACUUUGAAACCGGUUCUCGAGUAUUUGAGGAUAGACUACAUGGUUCAACGUCACAAAUGGUUUAAUCCCUGGAUAGUGUUAAAUUGAUACAGUUAUGUAUUUUCAUUAACUUUAUGAGAUUACAAUCUAUAUAUAUAAUGAGAGAGUUUUCUCUCCAUCUAGAGUGUCCACAUAGGCGACACAUCAGUGCACACGUCAUCAUACAUUUUUAAUAGGUAUAAAAUGUUACCAAAAAGAUUCGAACCCCUUACCCAAUACAUUUAAUAGGUGCAUUUCAAACCAAAUUGCCAUUUAAAUCGUUUUGAUUGAUAUCAAAAUUUAAAUUAUAUAUAUGACUUUAUAAAACUUUUACUCAAUUUAUUUAUUAAACGAAGAAACAUUAAAAAAAAAUUCACAUACUUUUAUAUUAUCAUCUUUUAAUAAAAGAAAAUAUUUUUUCAUAAACAAUAACAUUGUUUAAUACAAAGUAAUAUAAUAUAACACACAAAAAUAUGUGAAUAGAAGUUAAUAUACAAAUAGAUAAUUCAAAAAUAGAAGUUAAUGAAUUAAUAAAACACAGCACAAAAAUAUAUAAGAUAAAAAUAUGAAUAAAAAUUAGAAGCAUAUAGAUAAUUUUCAAAUACAUAUAAUUUAUAUAUGAGAAGUAGAAAACAAAAAAAUAUGUUAUCACGCUAGAAAGACAUUAACCUUUUCAAGAGUUAUAAAUAUUUAGAUUAAAAAAAGUUUAUAUGAUAGUAAACUAUAGAAUUUAGAUUACACGAAAUAAGAAUAUCUAUUUUUCAAGAAAAAAGUAUGUAUCCAAAAUCAAGAUAAAAUAUAUAUAAAAUUGUAUAAUAUAUUUAAGGAAAGAAUUUUGAUUUAAAAGUACAAUUAGAUACAAGAUUAAUUUAAACAAUAACGUUAGAGUGCAAUGUUUCAUGGAAAAUGCAAUGUAUGAGAAUAGGAAGAAUACAAAUAUAAAAUUUAAUAUGUAGGAAAAAGAACAUUUUAUAAUAGACAAGAAAAAAUAAAAUAUAAAAAUGAAAUAGAUAAAGAGAAUAUAAUUUUAAUAUAAGUUUAUAAUGAAUAAAAAAUUUAAUCAAUUAUUUUAACGAAAAGAACGUGAAAAGAGAUAAAAUGUCGCGAGGUGGACGACUGCAUAUUAGAAUAUGACGAAUAAAAUGACAGCGAAAUACUUUCAAGAGAAAUUGACUAAAUUCAAAAAGAUGUAUGAACAUGACAUGGUCGAGAUUGUAUAUUUCUCUGAAUUUUUUCAACUAAUUUUUUACCACGUGUUACCUAAAAAUUUGUUGUUUUUUUUAAGAGAAACAUUAUUCUCAAUAAAAUCUAUGUUAUAUAUCAUUUCAUAAAUAGGUUUAUGUCAUUAUAGAUUUAUCUUUUAAAAUUGAAUAUAUAUAUAUAUAUAUAUAUAUAUUUAUAUUCACGGCUUAUAUUGUUAAUAGUUUAUAAGUAAAAUCCCGCGCAUUGGGAUUAGAGAGUCUUCUCUCCAUCUAGGGUGUCCACCUAAGCAUCCACCUAAGCAAUAAUAUUUAUUUUACAUUAAAAUCAAUUUAAAACAUCCAUUUAAUGCAUUUACUUGUAAUUAAUAGAAAUAAUAAAUUUUAAAUAAAUAAAAAACGAAUUAUGUAAAAUAGUAAAAUAAUACUAUUAAAAUUUUAUAAGUAAGACUAAUAUAAUUCAACUUUUAAAUGAUAAAAAUUAAAUAUGGUCAGUAUUCAAAAUUUUAAAUGUGUUAAUGAGUUUUAGGAUGGAAGUAAAUUUAUGUAAUUCUAUAUGUAAAACUUUAAACAAGAAAAUAAAAUUUAAAGUAAAAUAUUAGUUUCAAAGAACAAUAUACUACAUAUUUUUAGUUAUUAUUAAAUUUUUACUUAAAGAAAAAUAAAAAAUUACUAAACUCAACUUAAAUUUAUAAUUUAAGAAGAAAAUAUUGUAAGAUGCAAACUUUAUCUUGUGAAAUUAUAAAAAAAAAUCUUGAAAAUUUUAAAACCUUAUCAUCCAUCUUUUAAAAAAUAAAUAAUCAGUGAUCACAGUAUUCAUGAGUUUUACAAUAAAAUAUAUUAAAAAUAAAUGUAAGCCAUUAAAAAAAAGUGAUAUGUAAUUUGUGUAGCAUAUUCUCAAGUGGAAGUACAACUUUAUAACAGAACAAAAAAAACUAAGUUUGAUAUUUCAUUAAUGAAAUAUUAAAAAGAUAGUUAUGAUAUGUCUUGAAAAUCAAUUCACAGUCCAAUAUAUAUUAUGUGUGAGUCAAUAGAAGGUAAAAAGAACGUAGAUGUCGAGAGGCAACGAUUGCAUCAUAGAAGAUGACGAAAGAACUGGUAGUUAAAAGAGUUUGAAAAUAAAUUUCUAAAACUUUAGAAAGAUAAUGCACAUGACUAAUGUAUCUUUGAGAUCUCAUUCAUUGUGUGAAACGAAUGAGUUCUUAGAAAAUACAUGACAUACAUUAUUAAACAAAUUAUUAGAUUCAAAGUUGGGUUUAACCGUUUGGCCAUGUAAUCAUGGAAAGUAAAAUAAGAUAGGCACAUUGAUGACUUAGUCGGAAAUUCUCUUAUUGUUGCACUAGCUUUGAUGGGUAAAUCAAACUCGCUAAACUGGUUCUAGCAACAUGGUAUUAUAGAUGUACUUUUACACUAAAUAAUGUUCAUGAAACUCGGUAAAUUCACAUUUUAUAUGGAAUGAUUUUAUGUUCGUAUCAACAUUUAAUCAUAAAUAAUAUCUACAAUUAGAUCAACAGUCGAUAAUUAAUAUCAAAACUUUUAGAAAUACCUUCAUGGAAUAUGAAUAAGAAAUAAACUCUUUGAGAGUGUUGAUACCGUUUAUUAUUUGUGGGAUUAUCUUAAGUGAUCUUUGUUACCACGUAAUAUAUAUCAAAUUAUUUAUUUGUCAAAGAAAUAUUAUCGUCGAUAAUAUAUAUGUUAUAUAUCGCUGCGUAAAAUAAGUUUAGUGUUUAAAAUUUGAAUUAUUAUAUUUAUGCUCAAAAAAUUAUCUUUUAAAUUUAAUUGAUUAUAUUUUAUGCUCAAAUUUUAUAUCAAUAGAAAAGAUUUUAAAAUUAAAAUCCCGCGCAACGCGCGGGUACAAAAUCUAGUUUAUAUAUAAUAGCAAUCUAAUAAAUAUCAUUUGCACAUCUGAACAGUUGCGUCUUUUUAUCGCAACCUUUCGUUUAAAUCUGUUUUUUUUUUACGGUUAUGUCUUUUUAUUGAAUUUUCUUUUUGAAUUUUCGUUGAAUUAUUUACGGUUAUAUUUGUUCAAUUACAGUUGUAUCUUUUCAGUUUGCAUUUAUAUCUUUAUAGUUGCAUUUAUUUAUUUAAAGUUACGUCUUUCCAUUAUAUAAUUUCAUUGCAUUUUUUGUAUAGUUAGUAAUACUACGAAGUUUUUUGACAUCAACCAUUAGACUACAUAUCAAAUUGGUUUUAUUAACCAAAAUAACAACCUCAAUAAAUGCAUUUUGCACUUUGGGAACGGUUGUGUCUUUUUACCGUAACUUUCCGUUAAAAUAUUAACGGUUAUUUUUUCGGGUGUGUUUUUUAUCGUAACUUUUCUUUAAAAUAUUGACGUUUUUUUCAGUUGUGUCUUUUCAUUGCAACUUCCCGUUAAAAUAUUGGUUGUUACUUUAUUCGUUUCUGUCUUUUUAUCGCAGUUUUCCAUUAAAAUAUUGACGGUUAUUUUUUCUCGGUUGUGUCUUUUUAUCGCAAUUUUCCGUUAAAAUGUUGACGGUUAUUUUUUCUCCGUUGUGUCUUUUUAUCGCAACUCUUCGUUAAAAUAUUGAUGGUUAAUUUUUUAGUUGACGGUUAUUUUUUGGUUGUGUCUUUUUCUCGCAACUUUUCGUUAAAAUAUUAAUGGUUAUUUUUUUCGUUGACGGUUAUUUUUUUUGUUGUGUUUUUUUUCUCGCAAAUUUCCGUUAAAAUAUUGACGGUUACUUUUUCGUUUCUGUUUUUAUCAUAACUUUUUGUUAAAAUAUUGACGAUAUUUUUUUCUCGAUUGUGUCUUUUUUGUCUGUUAAAAUAUUGACGGUUAUUUUUUUCUCGAUUGUGUCUUUUUAUCGCAAUUUUUUGCUAAAAUAUUGACAGUUAUUUUUUUUCAGUUGUAUUUUUUUUUUGCAACUCUUCGUUAAAAUAUUGACGGUUACUUUUUUCGUUGGCAGUUAUUUUUUUGGUUGUGUCUUUUUAUCGUAACUUUCCGAUAAAAUAUUGACGGUCAUUUUUUUUGUUUGUGUCUUUCUAUCACAACUUUCCGUUAAAAGUUUGACGGUUAUUUUUUCUCAGUUGUGUCUUUUUAUCGCAACUCUUCGUUAAAAUAUUGACGGUUUUUUUUUUCGUUGACGAUUAAUUUUUUGGUUGUGUCUUUUUAUCGCAACUUUCCGUUAAAAUAUUAACAUUACUUUCCUCGUUUGUGUCUUUUUAUCGCAACUUUUCAUUAAAAUAUUAGCGGUUAUUUUUUCUUGGUUGUAUCUUUUUGUCCUAGCUCUUUGUUAAAAUAUUUACGGUUACAAUUUUUCAUUGAUGGUUAUUUUUUCAGUUGUGUCUUUUUAUCGUAACUUUCAGUUAAAAUAUUGACGGUUUUUGUUUUUUGUUUUUGUCUUUCUAUCGUAUCUUUUUGUUAAAAUAUCGACGGUUUGUUUUUCUCGGUUGUGUCUUUCUAUCGCAACUUUCCGUUAAAGUAUUGACGGUUAUUUUUCUCGGUUGUGUCUUUUUAUCGCAACUCUUCGUUAAAAUAUUGACGGUUAUUUUUUUCCGUUUGUGUCUUUUUAUCGUAAUUUUUUGUUUAAAUAUUGACUGUUAUUUUUUCUCGGUUAUGUCUUUUUAUCGCAACUCUUCGUUAAAAUAUUUACGGUUACAUUUUUCGUUGACAGUUAUUUUUUCUGAUGUGUCUUUUUAUCAUAAAUUUUCGUAAAAAUGUUGACAUUUACUUUUUUUGUUGUGUCUUUUUAUCGCAACUUUUCGUUAAAAUAUUGACGGUUAUUUUUUCUCGGUUGUGUUUUUUAUCGCAACUUUCCGUUAAAAUAUCGACGGUUAUUUUUUCUCGGUUAUGUCUUUUUAUCGCAACUCCUCGUUAAAAUAUUGACGGUUACUUUUUGUGUUGACGGUUAUUUUUCUGGUUGUGUUUUUAUAUCUUUUUGGUUUUGACCCGCAAGAAUUUUUCCUCUCUAUAUUAUAACUCUUCUUAGUUAUUUUGUCAUAUAUAAAUAAUUUUAUAUUCACAAAAAAUGUUUCAAAAGUGUUUUUUAAUCAUAAUUUUUUUUUUUACAUUUUUAUUCAUAAUUUUUUUUUAUAUCUUUAGACCCCUACCCUACGAUAUAACUUUAAGACAUAGUUAAUUUUAUAUAAUAAUUCAAUUAUUUGAAUAUAUUAUAAUAAUAGUUUAAUACAUAAACGUAAUAAAAUAUAUUUGUUGAAAAUGAGUUCCCCGCGAUAUCGCGGGGUUCAUAACCUAGUAUAUAUAAAAAAAAAAUUAAAGAUUUAAAAAUUAUUAUAAACCGCAAAAGACAAAAACUACCUCUACUAAUGAGAGCAUCGAUCAAUUUGUUGUAAUACUUUAUCCCCAAAUAAUUAAUCUCUCCAAAUCUUCCUCCUGUCUCACAAAUAAUAAGCUUUGGUUAUUUAAUAAGCUAAAUAACUCUUCGUAGAUUGAGUUUCAAUAUUUAAUUUAUCAACUCUGGUUAGUAUCUAAUACAAUCGAUUUUCUUAUUUAUCAUGCAAUGCAAUGUAGUAUUAAUAAUACUGCUGAUUUAAGUAAAGAAGGACUUACUAGGUAAGAUUCUACACCAAGAAAUUGAAAACCUAUAACUGAUCACUCCAAGGAAAGUCAUUAAUUGGAUGUCCUCCUAAGCAUAUAUAGAAGAUAAUAUUAAACAACAACAUCAAAUAAUUUAAGAAUAUAAUAAGAUAAAAGAACAAGAACAAAAAUAGAAUGAAAUAAUUAUCAUAAAGACAUCCCAAUUGUUCAAACUUUUUCCAUCAGUCAAGAACGCACCUUCAUACUAUUUUAAGAAAAAAACAAAACUUAAUAUUUAAACAAAUUACAUUUUGGAAUAGAGAUAGACUAAAAAAAAUCUUAUAUUAAAUCAUCAAUAUAAUGGGAAGAAAAAUAAUUACCUGGUUAGCUGAAGAAGCUGUACCAAAGAGAAAAUCAGAAAGAAAUAGAGAUGAAUCUUCUAAAAUGUUCUCUGGAUAACUUUGAUGAUGACCAUAAACAUGAAACAAUAAGCUUUGUAAUAAGAUAACUGAUGUGAGUCAAAUUAGACCUAAUACUACUCUCUCAAAUAAGAGAUCAAUUGCAGUACUUUAGGGUCGAAAUCCACGAAGCUCUCGUGUUCACACAAUAGAUAAACAUGUUUUGAAUUAAGCUAAACAAGUGAAGUUUGCAAAUUAAAGUAAAACAAGUAAUUAAAAUCGAGAAGUAAAUCAGAUGGAUGAAACGUUAGGCUUAGGGAAAUUCUCAGGAAAUAAACUAACAGUAAAUCUAGCAAAUUAAUUAUGAUUAUUAUCGAACCGUUCUAGAACUCAAAGCACUAAUAUAUAGCCAACCACCCUCUCGAAUGUGUUGACUAACUAAUCUAAUAUCAGGUAAUUCCACCCUCUCGAAUACGAAUUCCUAGAAUUAAACUAGUAUUAAUAACAGGUUUGAUAUGUUCACAGAUAUUCCUAGACCUCCUCUCGAAUGUAUCUAGUAAUUUCUGCCCACCUAAGAUAGUUCCAGUAAUAGAUGACCUCUCGAAUCUACCUAUUAUCUUAUGAUCAAAUUCUAGUUAAUUACUCUAGAAUUAGCAUUAAGAACAAUCAAAGAUGAAGAACUCUAAUGAUAUUAUCCUAACAUGUUAUCGAUCUACUAAUUCAUCUAAAUCCCUAAUGAGAAUCCCUAAUUCUAACAAGCAAACUACUCAGACAUGGAGAUUGAAACAAACAACAUGUUAUGAAUAGAAAGCAUACAUAAAUUCAAGAGAAGAAGUAAAAGAGUUUAAGAAAUCUUCUCUAGAGGGGAGCUCUCUCCAAUUAUCUCCCAAAGGGUUCAAGCACCAAAUAAUACAAUAGAAUAGGAUAUUCAGAGAUCUCAGAGAUGUCUAAAAACAAAACCCUAAGAAUCUAUUUAUAUGUUCUUAAAAACGUGUAGAGACUUCUUUGAAAAUAGGGAAAAGUUCUAGGGCGAUUCUGCAAAUCUUCAUAACUUCAAAAAGACGUGAAAUCGAAUUGUCGUCUGAUAUUGGUGUCGACCGACACUAGGGGUGGUGUCGAUCGACACCUACACGUAUUUUGGUCUCCGGAUUGCUCUUGCAGCAUAACUUCUCGGUUUUGCUCCAAAGUGAUCCAUAAUCUCCAAAUUAGUCCCGAACGUACAUAAACCUGAAAAUACUAGAAAAGACUCUACAAAUAACAAAAAGACUCUAAAAACAAUACCUAUAUCAUAGUUAAAAACGGUAAAAUCCAUGAUAUAUCAAUAACAACUACAAAACUGGUUAACGUUUUCAUUGUUCUUGAUUCUAUUGUGUGUCUUGAUAGAUCUGUUAUACUAUUAUAUAUAAAUGUACAUGUAAGAAACGUGAAAUAUUUUGGUCUGCAUUAUUGAGAAAAUGUCAAAUCUGUCUACUCUAUGUAUAUAUAUAAACGUCAAAGGUCACCAAGAAACCAACAAAAGUAGAUAAAAUGAGCAACGUCAAGAGUGGAGCCCAAGAGCUUAUUUACACGAUACCGGAUAAGUUUUGGGCCGAGUUUUAAUAGUCAUAAAAUCUGUGGCAAUUAGUUAUGUAUCCAUUUAACCUUUCUUGAAAUAAAGUUUGUGAUUUAAAUAAAGUUUGAGUGACUUUAAAUGUUAUGUAAAAUAUGUCGUUAUACAAUCAAGAUUUUUUAAAAGUUUGUUAAAGUUUAGUGAUUAAUUUAAAAUUUGUAAAAAAUAAUCAAAAAUCUUCAUAAAUCUGGAGUUAUUGGAUUCAUACUUUUUUAAAAUCAUUAAAAGUUUGUGUUAUUCAAUUAAAACAAAAGAAUCUAUGAUUGUUACUGAAUUAAAUUAUUAUGUUAUUGCUUUAUGAUUUUCUACACUUUUCUUCACAAAAUAAAGUCAUGAAAACUAUCAUCAAAAUAGAGAGAUUGUUUGGAAAACUUUACAAGAUUAUGAAAAAAAACUAAUCAACAAGAUUAUAGAAUUAAAACUCUCUAGCAAUAGUUUAAAAUCUUUCAUUUAUUUAUUUUCUAUGAUUUUAUUAAACUCAUCAAAAUUUCUUGUAAAUUAGGAACCAAUAACACCUCUAACUUAAUUGCCACCUGACGAUUUAAAUGUGGUCCAUGAGAAAAAAGAAAGAUUAAUUGGAUGCUUUUUGCUUCUUGUUUGUCACUUUCCUUCGUGGCGCAGUGGUAGGUGACGAUGGUCCUGAAUGGUAAGUUGGUAACAUAAUUGUAGAGUGAGUAUCCUAAUCAUGGUUUACCAACAUAUAGUAAACUGAUUUGAUAACCCGGUUUAUCGAAUGGUAGUUGAUGAAUCGUAUCAUUGCCAAAUCCAAUAGUAAACUGAUUUUGCAAUGAUGUGAUCCACCAACGGUUAAGAUGUGAUUAGUCCUUUAUGAAUUGUAGAUAACUCAAAUGAUAGUUACGAUUGUAGUACGAUUAGUUUUUUUUUUCAUAUUUUACAAAUUUACUCUUAAUGGUAUUUAACAAUUACUUUAAAUAUUAUAUUUAAUAGUUAAAAUAUAUUUUCACUAAUUUUAUGUCAAACAAAAAAACAAGAGGGACGUUUCGUUGUCUAGUCGGUGGUUCGUCGUUCGUUACCAAACCAAGAAUGGGUAAAGAAUAGAUUAUGUGAGUAAAGUUUGUCUUGCCAUAUAUAUCUUCAAUGGAUUACGAUGAUGACGAGGCCAGACGAGAUGUGAGCUCUCUCCAUCACGUCCAAUCAUGUGAAUGUAACUCUUUGGUUAUAGACUUAUAGUGAUUUCGAAUAUAUAUUCUUGUUGUGUUUAUCUUCUUUUAUAAAACAAAGCUUAUAGGGUAGUUUAUACUAUCCAAUAUAAAGAUUAUUAGAUUUGACACUCCAAAAAUUAUGUGAAAUUUGAAAUUACACUAAAUCAUCAAAUUUUGAAUUUUAAGUUACACUGUAUAUAAAUAUAAUAUUUAUUAUUCAUUCAAGAUUUUCGAUAUUUUCGUCUGGCAGUUGCUCCUUAAAAUCAGUAAAGAUUGUCCAUUUGAAAAUAAAAAUUUACACCACAAAGGAGAUUAGUUGAGAUUUGUACCAAUUUAACAUGCAGCAACUUGAAAUUUUUUAACAAAAAAAUACAUUCAGAAUCUCUGGACAAUUUUACAUUUUCAGUCAAAAGUCAAAACCUUAAAUAUUUUAUCAACGACCAACAACAAUUUCGCAACCUUGGAUAUAUGAUAUGUAUAAAUGUAUCAAUCUCAUCUGCCGACAAUAUUAGCAUAAAAUAAUGUGAAUUGGAAGCCGGAAUUGAUUUACGUACUCGUUUUGGGUGGGUGUCGUCUCACCAACUUCACUACAGUGUGUCAGUGACUACUGACUAGAUCGCAAAAAAUAUGAUCACAAUUUAGUAAAAUAUCAAACGCGCAUUAAGAUUUGAUUAUUGAGGAUGAUUUUCAGGCCACCAGAUCUGACCACGAAUCGUUUAAAACAGCUGACAAAAUACUCAGACCCCAGAUGACUAGUAUGUAAUGGGUUCUAGCACCCUAACCAACCAAAAAAAGGCUCCUACAACAAUGUAAAUGACUCAAUUCUUUUUAACAAAUUUUGGUGAUGGCUCACACUUUUUCCAUAGGAAUUGCCAACCAAGCAUUAAAUGCAUUGAUACAAAUAAACGCAUCCACAUAAUUGAAAUUUUAGAGAUAUGUGUCAAACACACUUGAGAUAAGAAGUUUUGCAUGCCGUAAAUAUUUUGCGGUCAUUGGAUUGUAGAUCCCUAGUACUAACGAUCAAACUUAUUAAAGAGAUUAAACUUAUUCUAGACUUCUAGUGAUAUCGUUUUGUUAGUGCUUGAGAAAGAUAGGAAUAAUGAUGUCUAGAGACUAGAAGGAGAACCUCUCCAUUUUAUUUUCAUUUACUUGACUAAACCUACCCACAAAAUGGAGACAGUGGCCAAGAAUAGACGAACUUAGAGAGUACAUGGACCAGGCCCAAUAGUGGAGUUUUCUAAUGUUCUUCUUGGGAUAAGAGAGUGGGUGAGAGACCAAUAUAGCUAACUAAGACCAAUUAUAAGGAAUGGAUUGAGUAGAUUUUUAUCCUAAUGGCCUAAUAUGAUAUGUAAAUAGGCCCGUAGAGACACACCUCAACAGUGAUUUCUCAAAAAAAAAAUUUUUUUAUAACUCAGAUGAUCAUAAAAGUUUCUUAGGCCCAUAAAGUAAUCUUUGGAUUAGAAGAAACCAUGUUAGAAUGCAAAUCUUGGUGGCCAAUGAUAUUCGAACCCAGGUGAACCAAAGAGACUUGCUUAUUUCUCAAAGUAUUUACACAGGCCAUAACUGAUAGAUACCUCAAAAAUAAUUUAGUAGAUGGUCUGAUCAAGAAAUUACUAUGGCUUAUUUAUUUAUUAUCAUCAUCCAAACAAAAUAAAAACAGAAGAGACAAUAAUACUUUCUAUAAUAUAUAGAAUUAGUCGGUCUUAUGCAGAAUCUAACAUGGUCAGCAACUUCAAGCUCCAGUUUCUUCAUAUCCAUUGACCGGGAAAAACACUUUCCGAUGUUGAUCUCACCGGAAUGUUCUCUCCUCUCCAGCUACUACUCUUUUGUUAGUUUUUUUUGUGUUUCAAAAUCAACCCAAAAAACUGCCUCUUAAACCAUCCUCACUGCUUCGCCUGCUCAAUGAUUGCAAAGAACAUAGGAACAACGUUAAUGAAAAGAUUAGAACUAGAAAUUAUUCACUUAAGAACCAAGUAGAGAACCCGAAAAGGGCAAUUUUCUGCAUUUUGAUUAUUUCAUCAAAGAACCAAAUAGUAAUAUUUCUCCUAAUAUCAUCAAAUGAUUUGGUAGCUAAACAAGAACAAAGUUUUGUUUGUUUACCUGUGAGUAGAGGAAAGUUCCAAGAAUCGCAAUGGCAGCACCGAGUGCAUUAACUGGUUGAAUCGGGGUAUGAAAAAUGAUGAUCGAUGCAACAAUGACGGAGAUCCGCUUCAUCGUAUUACCGAUACUGAAAGUCAACGGCGAAAUCUGGUCUAACGACAUGUAUGAGACCUGAUUGUACAAAUGGUAAAACACACUCUGUGCCACUACCCACCUGUUGAUUUAAAAAACAAACACAACACAUUAAGUACUUUCUGCAAAAGUUAAUAUCUCAAUAUGAUAUCAAAACAUGUUAGAAUCUUUUAUCUCAAGUUAGAAGGGAAAUAAAGCAAUAUAUACCAGUCCACUCAUAGACAUUUGAAUUGGAAGUCCCUGAAACUUAACAAACUAUUAAAUAGAAAUGAUUUGGUUUUAGUUCGUACCAGACAAAGUUUGGUCCGACUUGAGAAACAGCAUUUUGCCAACCAGCAGCCCACAUUUGAGGACCUUCGACAGCAAUAGCAAAUGGAGUGAGGAUCACAAGAGACAUCAUCGAUAAGCAAGCGUAGUAGUUCAUCCCGCUAACUGAUUUCCCUUUCAUCCCUUUCUUCGAAAAGAUAUUCCGAAACACAAAUGCCAAAUUCGAUAUCAUUGCCCCCAUAAACCCUACAAAAACAAACCACAAAGUUUCACAUAAGACCAUAAAUCAAAGAACUGUCCCAAUGUGAAUUCCAUUGGUUAUAGAAACCAAUCUUCUAGGCUUGUGAGUUUUACCAGUGAUGUUGAAGUUAAGCUCUGUGAUGGCGGCGAGAGCGCAGCCUCCGAUGAUUGGUAAGAGAGAGAGAUAGACAGGAAGAGGGAAAGUCUCUCCCAUGAAGAGUCUUGAGACCAAGACACUGAACGCUGGUUCACCACUUUUAAUGAUGUGUGUGAAGGAAACAGCUACCUUUGACAUACUCACUGUUGCUGCCACAUGUCCUAUGGUGUGUGCUAAAGCGACCUUGAAGAAGAAGAAGAAGCAAACAUCGAUCAAAAACAUUUUUCAUUACAAGACAACAAACAAGUUCCACCAUGUUCUGGUUUUUUAAUUUGACAGUCAAUUUCUAGCUUUGUCUAGCUCGAGCUCUCAAUCGUUAUUAAACAAAAUCCAUCAAGCAACAUCAUGAAAAACCCUAAACCAUUACCGGAAGACAGAGCUCAACAUCAGUUUCUUACCGGAAAACAGAGUAAAUCUUAAAUUCUUACCGGAAAACAGAGUAAAUCUUUAAUUCUUACCCGAAAACAGAGUAAAUCUUCAACUAUUACCGGAUACAGAGUAAAUACUAAAUUCUUACCCAAAAACAUAGAUCGAGAUCAGUUUUAUGCAAGAAAUUUGGCAGUAAAACACUAAAUUCUUACCGGAAAACAGAGUAAUUCCUAAGUUUUUACCAGAAAACAGAGUAAAUCCAAAAUUCUUACCGGAAAACAGAGCAAAUUUUAAGUUUUUACCGGAAAACAGAGUAUUCCAUAGAGCUCACAAUCGUCAGGAAAGAUGGAAAGGUUUUUUAUAAUUUCGUAUAAAACUAGAUGAAAUCCACCAAGCAACAAUUACGGGCAAGAAACCCUAAUUACUUACCGGGAACAGAGUUUUCCAGAAAUCGAUAUCAGUUUUAGGAGCAUCUGCUAUCCUAGUAGCCCAAGAGACAAGCAUCAUCAGAGAACCACAAGCGAGAGACAACGUCGAAGUAAGCCACGGGUAAGGAAAAGCAUUGAGGACUUUCUUGUUGUAGAUGUUGAAAACAACGUUAAGUGCCCACCAAGUCGCGAAAUAGAUUCCGAUUUUCAGUUUCUGCGCGGAUUGUUCGUCGGGAAGCUCGAUGUUGAUGUCGAGUGGACGAGAUCGAUCGGCCUCGUAAGCUUCGACUUUGACCUCACCACGCUUGAAAUUCAAAGUAGAUGAAAUGUGUAGAGGCUUUUGAUGCGAGACACUGGAGUUAAAGCUUUGGUUAUGGCAGGUUUUGAUGAUGGGUAAAGGAGAAAACUUGAGCUUUGUCGGAAUUGACCGCCUUACGCCUCCGGAGAUGGCGAUGGAGAUGGACGAUGAAGCUGGUUUGAUUGAAGAGAUCAUUGUGUGUUUUUCUUGUGGGUAAUUGAUGAAGACGAUGAUCUUGAGGUGGCUCCAAGAUUUUUAUCAGAGAGAGAAAGAGAGACUUUGUGUUGUUGGGGAAGUAGAAGAGGAAGAAGAAGAGAAUUUAUAGAAAGUUUGAGAACAGAGGAGGGAAAGGUUUCGUUUUGAGUGUAACGACAAGUUUUUAGAGUAUUCAGAUAUUUUUGUAAUACACGAAUAUACCCUUUAUACUUAUGGUUUGUGUAUGGGUAAUUUCGUCAAAAUAUCGGAGAGGCGGUGCAUGAGCUCAUUAAAGAUCAGUUUAAGGUUUUAAAAUUAAGUUAAGUAAAUCGUUUGAGGUUAUAUAGUAUUAACUAAUGAUAAUUUACUGGAAAAAAUCUAAUGUAAAUAUUUUUUUCCAUAAAAAUUGUUUAAAGUUUUAAGUUUUUUUAUACUCUUUCCGAUCUUUUAUAAGUGAUGUUUUAGGAGAAUGUAUAUAGAUUAAAAAAUCAUUUAAUUUUUAUUUAUUUCUAAACUAAAACAUCAUUUAUUAUCUAAUCAACCAAUAAAAAUCAAUUUACAGAAUAUAAAUCGUCAAAACCAAUAAAAAAUAAUUAAUUUUGCAUUAAAAAUAAAAAUAUCAUCAAUUUAAAAACAAAAUUAUAAAUUUAAAACAUCAGUUAUAAAAGAACGGAGAGAGUAAUUUAUAUUGUUUAUUCAAACGAUGUUAAACAAACUGUCUUCACUGCGAUCACUAAAAUCUAUGACUAUAAAGGGACCAAGUGUAAGGCUUUAGGUGUUACGUUACGUUAAGGUAGCAAAUAUCUAUUUUGAAAUAGUUAGUAUACACGUAUUCAAUUAUUAUCUUGAUAAUUUAUCAAUUUGUUUAAGAUUAAAUUGUAUACAAAAAAUAUGAAACGUUCAUUUUUUUGUUGUUAUUGCCUCAUAUGUUCAGACCAUAAGAUAUUAUAUAAUAAUGUUAUGAAUUUCUCUAAAAAAAGUUUAAAAUAAUAAUAAUUAUUAAUUUUAGGAUAUGAAUCAUAAAUUUGUGCGUUUCAAAAUUUUGAAGUAUACAAAAAUACAACAUUUCAUGUUUUAUUUUCCAAAAUUCUCUUCUAAAAUGGUUAGGAGAGAAUUUUAAACGGUUUAAUCUAAAACUGAGGAAAUAGUUUUACGAAUUUAGUUUGGGUUGGCUGAUUUUAUAGCCAUAAACUAGUUGCAUUCUCAGAUUUUUCCCCCAACCUUUUUGCCUCUGAAAAUUCCACCAUAAACUUAGAUAAUUCUCACAAUUGCAACAUGUACUUUCGGAUUCAUCUUUAAAACUACGCCUCCAAUUGAACCGGCCAAUAAACCGGUACCACAUAACCCGGUUUGAUUUAAUUCAAAUUUAACCAAAUUUAAACCUGAUUUUGACCCGAAUCUUCUUCCUCUUCACCCGAUUUUGACCAGAAUUUGUUUUCUUCUUUUUCAUCUUCAUUCCCAGAACGACCAAUAAUCCCAAAACCCAUCACAAUCAAAUUUGCAAUUAUUCUCCCAGUCUGUGAAAUAAAGAAAUAAACGAGAUAAAUCUCUCAAAAAAUAAAAACAGAAAAACUAGUUUGAUUGUAGAUCUAGAUAGAACAGUCCCCAAAUAAAUCGAAAAACCAAAAAUUUCAAACUAUUGUUAAAAACAAAAUUAUCAAUUCAAAGGAAGAACAAACGACAGUAGAAUUUGGUUUUGACUGGAGAAAAGGCUUGUUGGUGAAAUUCUACUUUUGAUUUUGACUUUUUUUCCGGCGAUGCCAACGCUGGUGAUUACGGCGAGAGAAUGCUUGACGGAGGAAGCUGCUCAUGCUCUCGACGAUGCUGUUGCUGUGGCUCGAAAAGGCUUGUUGGUGAAAUUCUAUUUUUGAUUUUGACUUUUUUUUCCGGCGAUGCCAACGCUGGUGAUUACGGCGUGAGAAUGCUUGACGGAGGAAGCUGCUCAUGCUCCCGACGAUGCUGUUGCUGUGGCUCGUCGGAGAAGCCACGCCCAGACGACGUCUCUUCAUGAAGAGGAAGAAGAAAAAAUAAAUCGGGUCAAAAUCUGGUGAAGAAGAAAAGAUUCGGGUCAAAAUCGGGUUUAAAUUUGGUUAAAUUUGAAUUAAAUCAAACCGGGUUAUGUGAUACUGGUUUAUUGGCCGGUUCAAUUGGAUGCGUAGUUUUAAGGAUGAAUCUGAAAGUACAUGUUGCAAUUGUGAGAAUUAUCUAAGUUUAUGGUGGAAUUUUCAGGGGCAAAAAGGUUGGGGAGAAAAGCUGAGAAUACAACUAGUUUAUGGCUAUAAAAUCAGCCAACCCAUUUAGUUUCGGCUUAGUAAUUCUUAAUAAAAUUUUAAAGACCCUCCCUAAUUAAAUACUAUAAAUUUUGCUAUAUUUUGGUACAUUUUCCAAAGUACUGGUAUUUUAAAAUAAAAUAAAAACUUGUCUUUAUGGUAUUUCUCUUUGAUUUUAUUUCAUGUUACUAUAUAAAAAAGAAUUUUCAAUAUUCAAGAAUUUUAUUUUCUCCUCCUUUACGGACUUACAAUAUUUCCAACCACGGUUUUGAUAUUCCUGCCAUCAAUGGUUGUCACGAAUCAAUGAGUAAUUUACAUGUGACAACUCAGUUUGUAAGUUGAGCUAUAAUCAGAACAUAAGUAUCAGUUCCAAGAAAGUAUUGAAAACGCUUUUUUAGUAUCUGAAAAUCUUAUAUCGUUAAUUACCAAAAUUCAUUUGUUGAAAUAGAUCGUCGUAAGCCAAAGGCAAUACAAUGAAUAAAGUUAAAUUUCAUAAUUAUUACUUAUCGUUUUGGCAACAAUAACACGAACAACACGAUGUAUCGUUUGUCAUUUUCAUUCGUCAUCGAUGCUAACGACAAUAAAAAGAACAGGAUCUAUAUAUAGUAUUAAUAUAUAAUAAUAUAUAUGUGUAUGUGUAUGUAAUGUUAAUUUGGACCGUUGAAAUAAAAGAAGCUCGGGUCACAUGUUGGACGUACAGGCUUCACCAUUGAUGUAACCUCGCAAAUGGAAUUCUCACCGUAGAAAAUAUCACAAGAGGAAAAUUACAAAACAUAACAAAGUUGUUGAACACAUGCAACUGUCAUUACACGACAAACUCUCUCUCUUCACCAACACUGAUUCAUAGAACACAUAUGUCCAUUUGCAUGUGUAUAUGUGUGUGUUUAUAGGUCAGGUAAUAAAUUUGGUUCAUAUUCGACGGCUAGGAAAAUUUUCAGGAAAGUUCGUAUAAUAUUGGGGAAAAUCAACGAUUCAUCAGAAAUAUCGCUUUCCAAAUUGUUCACUUGAUGGAUUUUUCUGCAUGCGCGCGCGGUUGCUCCGUGAAAUAUGAGUCGUUGAUUCAUUUUACUAUUAGACAUUGAAAUCGUCAUGAAUUGGUAAUACAAUAGAGUUAUUGUUCAUCGUUUACCCAAUGUUAAUUAAAAUUGUUAAAACAACUCAGAUGAUAAGGGGAAAAAUUACCUUUCUAAGAAAUAAAGAAUUCAGUUUCACAAAAUAAAAAUUAAAAUAAAAAUAAAAGAAUUCUAAAAACACUCCAUUUGUAGAUUUUCUCUUAAACAAUUAACAAUAAUUUGUAUCUGUGUUUAUUACUCCAUUUCUCUCAUUUUAUAAGAUGUUUGAUUAAUAUGUUUUUUUUUGUCUACUUUAUAAGAUGUUUCACAAAUUUUUUAUAUUGUGAUAUUUUUGACGAUUUAAAUUUUGCAGUCUUUUUAUGAUUGGUUGAUUUUUGUUUUUUUUUUAAUUAUCAAUUUAUGGUUAGUUUUAAAAAAGAGUUUCUUAAUCUUCACAUUUUUAUCUAAAAUAUUUUAUAUUUUGAAACAUAGGGAGUACAAUAUUCUAGAAGCAGCGUAAGACUUUUUAAUAUAAUUUGUAAAUAUUAUUUCUUAACUUUUAUUAUUUUUACUGUUAAAUUUUAUAAAUUGUAAUAUUCUUAGGUUUAUAAUGAUCAAACCUAAAAAGAUAAAUAAAAAAAGUUCAAAGUUCAUUUAUCUCAUUGGCAACUGGACAACACCAACUAUUGAUAUUGAAUCUCAAGUCGUUUUCGUUGAAACUAGAACUAGGAGAGUAGUCGGGCUACGCCCGGAUAUAUAUAUAUAUAUAUGAGAAUUGACAUUUUUUUAAGUUAGUUUACUUAAUAUUUAUUUUUUAGAUUCUUUUGUAUGUAAUGUUGUUGCAUAAUCAUGUGAACAAAAGAAUUGUUAUAUACAAUUUUUAAUUAAUAUUAUCUAGAGUUUUUAUUUACAAAUUAAAAUUCAGUAGUUGUGUUUUGUCUCAAAGUAGUGGUUUUGGCAAAGUAAACACAAAUCUAGAAAGUAUAAAGUUGGGAGCCCCAAAAAGUAACUACUAUAUGCGAUGACGAAUUGACGAUAUCUACACUACAUAACUUAAUUUUUUUUUUUUGUCAUCUGAAAAAUAUAUUGAAAUCCACAAGGGAAUCGUCUUCAGGAUAUACAUCGAAGCAGUCACCCACAGGACUGAGACAACCUACUUACAUAUCUUAAAUAUUCCCAAGUAAAUUGUAAGGAGCUUAAAAAUAAAACUAUAGGGAGUCGAUAACAAAUCACAUUAUAUUUGUUCUACAAAGUCACUUCCAAUGUUUCAUCUUUGACCAUCUUUCUCCUCAUUAUCCUUUUUUUUUUUUUUUAACUUUAAAUUUCCAUUAAUUAAAAGAAACAAAUUACAAGACCCAAAGGCCCAAACAAGGCACGCAGGCCCAACAUACAUGACAAAAGCCGAACCAGGCACGCAGGCCCAACAUACAAGGCAAAAGCCGAAGGGACUCGCACGCCCAAGAAGGAGGAGGAGACUGAAGCACAAAAGCUAACAGGCCUAAAGGAAAUCCCUGAGGCCCAAAGAAGAAACCACCUGAGACAGAGAAGGGAAAAGAUCACUAGAAGAUGGAAAACCAUGUAGCUAACAGAGUUAACGCCGGUGGGAUGGUAGGCUGAUCUCUAGAAAGAGGAUCGAGUCGCGCUCUGACUAACACUUUUAUUUCCUUGAUGAUCACAGCAGCAGUCCUAGGAGUAGCGAGGUGAAUCCGUUGAUUCCUCUCACGCCAAAUGAGAUAGAUAGAUGCUUGGUAGAGCAAUUUGAGGAUUAAAGCAACGUUCUUGUUCCUCGAGGAAGUUUUUAGCCACAAAAGGCAGGCCAUGAACUGAGGUGGCGGUUGGUGAUUAGUUCUUUGGGUGAAGUGAAGCCAGAUUUCGUGGCUGAAGCUGCAUUCAAAGAACAAAUGAUCCCUGGACUCGUUCUGGGAGUUGCAGAGGAUACAUAUGGCAGGGACAGCAAGACCCCAUCUUCUCAAUCUGCUCAUUAUCCUUUGAGCCACAAGUUAAUACAUAAACAAACUAAAAUAAAAAUGUUUGAACAACUAUUCUGGAUAAGAGUUUACCCGUCGUUAAAAGUGGCAGCUAUAACCUCUACAAUGGAUACUCAUGCUUUUCUUCAUAGGAGUGGAAACCAGUGCAAAAGUUGAGAAGCAUAUUUGACCAAUAAUCCUCACCCUAUGAUAUGUCUCUUCAUUAAGUUCUAAGACGUUGUGAUUCAACAGAAAUUUCAGAUAUAAGAAUUGAUAUGAUUCAGUUUUGUUGUUUUACUUUUGAAUUUUUUUUUUUUUUUUUGUCAACAACUUUAUUAGAUUAGCUUAAAAAAGUCAAUUCUGAAGGAUAUUGUUUACAUAGGUAAUAAGAUGCGGUUGAGUACGCCUUUUGAUCUAGUAGAUAAGGAAUUGAUUAAUAAUUUUUUUUUUAUCUAAGCGUUAGUGGAAGGUGGCUGCUUGAAAAUGGAUUCCAAUGUCUUCAGAGUUUCCAUCUUAGCCGAUCAAGAUCCUUUGCAACAUGGUCAUCUUUUGACACUUCUUUUUUUCUUUCUUUUUUUUUCUUUAUUGCAACAUAGACCUAGUAAAAGAUCGAAGAUGAAAGAAGUAUCUUAACCACAAAGCUUAACUGAGAUAGGGAAUUCAAAUUGAGUGUCGAGUUUACAAUAAGUAUGAGGGACAUAAGGCUCACACUGAGUGGCUACUGUUAUUUCCCCUAUGGUUUGAGAUGUGAAACAUAAUCGAUUGAUUCCAUUGAUUCCGUUCAGCUUCAAUCGUCUGUUUGUGUUGACAUCUCAAAAAUGUAAGUCAAGGUCCACUUUCAUAACAUAGAUUAAUUACAUAGACUAACCUAAGCAUUUACCUUGUUUUUGUUUUGUAUCUUAUAUAUAUGAACGCAAAUCAGUUGCAAGAUUCCAUCAAGGACAUGGAAUUCUUCAAAUAGGGAGAUCAGAUACAAUUAAGACCUGUAAAAGAAAGAAGACUAAUUAAAAACAUACCAUUUUCACAAAUAGUGACCGGGAGAUUUUUUUUGUGCAUGAUUGAUCACUGGAUUUAUAAGGACAUAAACAUAAAUUUCAUUGAUAUCACCUCACUUUUUAGUACAGUGAGACAAAAUCUGAAGCAUACAUAUCAGUGAUAGAGUUAGAAGGCAUGGACUCACGACUCUGUGGAUAUGCAAAUCAGAUUCACAAAGAGUAACAUCCCAACAUGUAGAAGUAGGGGAUACCUUCUUAUUUGAUAAGUAAGAAAACCUGAAUAAUUUUAAUGAAAACCCAUGAAUAAAACAGAACAAAAAAAGGAAGAGAGUAAACUUAUGCUCUUUCAUCUUCUGGAGAAAGGAUCCAUGGAGGAUGUCUUUGAGUCGAAGGAUCGUUAAGAAGGUCGAAGUUGUUGAAAAUCAUUACCGUAUGGUCUCUCUGGACGCCGAUCACAGAUCCGUAAGCCCUAGGGUUCUGCUAGAACAUUCUUUUGUAGCUUUUGCAGAGCCAUUCUCGUUUGCGCAGGAGGAAGCUGGAGGAUUAACCCUAAAAUUUAACCGAUGAUUACCAUAGAUUUGACGGUCUUUAAUAGAUUUGACAUAGGUGAAGGAGUCUUGAUGAAUUUUAAGAAGAAAAGUAAGAAGGUCAUGAGGCGUCGUUUAGAUGAGAAAAUACAAACGUUAUAUUUGAGGCUUGCAACACAUAAUCUCAAUUAGUAGCUUGGAUUUUCUUAUGAUUGUGAUUGGUUUUUUUUUUUUCUUUAAUUAGAUAGCUGACGUGGCAUAUGGAGAGAUUGAUUUUGAAAAUCUGACGUGGAUAGCUUGAGAAGUCUCAAACAAUUCUUUUUAUGAGUAAGAGAUGUAUUAUAUAUCCUGCUACCAUUCUCUUUUUCUUCAACAGUGAGAAGUAUAGUAACUAAAAAGGUAUGGGCCUGAUGAGAAGAAAAAAGGUAUGUGCCUUAUGGCAAUAUAUGAGAAUUGUUUUAAAUAAGUUUUGCAUUUUAUGGUCACUUAACAAUAUCGUUUCCAUUCCUUCUUUGCUACUACUUUAUCUACAAAUUCGUUACGUAGGUUUAACACUAACAAAUUCCUAAUAGACACAGAUAUUAAUAAAUGGGCCGGAUCAUAUAUGCUAGACAAAUGUUUAGACAAAUGUUUACGAGAAAAUUUUCGUAAAAGGUACCUUUUGAAACUAUAAUUUGUGAAAUUAGUGAAACCAUUCCAAUAUCAUUGCAAAGACAAUAUGAAAAUUAAUUUGUACACACUUCUGAAAAGACAUAUCUCGAAUGAAAACAUUAAGAUUGAUAUCUCACUAUAUGCUCUAUAUAUUAUUAUAUAAACAAUGGCAUGGGAAAUUGAAAUGAAAAAUAAUUAAGCAAGGACCUUGCUUGAUCUUGAGAAUCUUGGUGACCAUGUAUUACACAAUAGAGAAGCUUUUAAAGAGAGUUUCUUCUUUAGGUUUUGUUUUGGUGAUUCUCUUUCCAUUUCUUUGCUGCUUUCAACUUCUCCAAAUGCCUCCAUCGCUGAUUUCAAAUCUAUAUUUCUAAAACACAUUUCAUUAGGAUUUAUGUUGUCAAAGAUUUAUAUUAGUUUUAUGCAUCAACCAAUCAAGUAAUACAUUUCAAUGAGGAGUAAUAAUAUGUGGAAAUCAUUUUCUUAUUAUUGACAGAAAGUUAAAUAUAAUAGAGAAAAAAAACACUUGCCUUGAAAUGGCCACGAUGAGUUUGGCUCUAAAACGUUGUUGCUCGUCUUGAAUUCAUGUAGCUGCAAAAUUCCAUUAACCGGUUAAAAUCUAACCAAAAUCGAUCAGUCGUUUUAAUGUUUUUUGAUCAUCUGAUUUAUUGAAUCAUCGAAACAGAGUAGAAAUGAUGAAAUCCAUAGAAACAGAGCACAUCAACGUUGUAACUAAAAAAACCAUUGUUUCUAAUUGUUUCCAAAAAAAAAAAAAUUCUUACCCAACUAGGUGCACUACUGGAUGAACUAUCCCAACCGAUAUGUGACACGUGUCGAACAUCAGUCGGAUAACCAAUUUCCAUCUCUUCCUCCUCCUCCACAUCUACAAAAUUUAAUCCAUUUUUGUAAUCAUUAGAAUGCAUUUUCAUUUCCAUUUAAAGAUAAAACUAAACAAGAUUAGAAGUUUGAUCGAUUUACCAAAAAUGUCGGAGAAACAUUUGAAGCUCUUGUUAUAAAUCCCUUUGAAUCUUGUAGCCAUGCUCAAAUCAAACACAACAAUAAAAAUAUUUCUACUUAUAUAAAGAACCGAAACACUACUAUAAUAAUGUUAAAAAGAACAAAAUAAAGUUUGGUAUAGAGAGCAAUGAAUCGAACAGAAGAAAAGAAACAGAAAUGAUUGAAGAGGAUGAUGAAAAUGAAGAAGAAAGAGAAAGAGACAAAAUACUCUUUCGUUUGAGAUUGGAAUAGUAUUUAAAGACAAAUAAAAAAUGGAAGGAGACAUGAAAGAGUAGUGGUAAUAUAUAAAUAAAUAUGAAGGUAUAUAUAUUCUUGAUCAAUUAUUGGAGAAUAUAAAAUUUGUAUAUAUUUUAACGGAAAACUGAAAAACGAAUAUCUUAUCCGACCAAGGACAAGGAGAAUAGAGUUUUCAGUUUUGUUUACCGAUGUUAUGUAUGAGACAAUAAUUAAGUAAAUUAGUUAAAGGUUUAGGUAAUCCAUUCCACGAGUUUUAGCUCAACUACCAAUUCCAUCCGUUUACUAGUUACAUCCACUCCAAUACAACUGUUCAAAAAUUGGACUAGAAUGGGUUUACGAAUUUAAUGAUUUAAAUCUUAAAUCUAAAUUGUCGUAAACGAUUAGAGAAAAAAAAAAAAAAGAUAAACAGAAGAUUUAUAAUGAUUCGUUUUAAUGUGUUGUUUCACUCCACAAUUCAACAAAAUGUUAGCUUACUCAUACCGUGACGAUCAUAUUUUAAGAAUAGACAAAAUUUCAGUGGCGUUUAAGCAGUAUAUUUUGUCUAAAUGGCAUGUAAGUGGUCUAAGCACUCUAGGUAUUUUCCUCGUCUAAUACAUACUUUUAUAUGUAUAAGUAAAUGUUACGUAUGCCUGCCUAAUUCUUCAAAGGUUUUCUUUCAAUUAUAAUACUGGAUUUGGACAGUAUAACAACUAGAAUUUGGAGUUGAAAAAGUAAGAAAUUAAUAGACUAAAAAAGUGAAGCAAACUUUUAUCCUUUUAACUAAACAAAAUAUCUUUUAAUAUAAAAUACAAUCAUUUGUUUUCCUUAUAACUUUAAAGAUGUAGUUAAUUAAUUAUCUUAUUUAAAAAUCAUGAUAUAUCAUUAAUCUUAUAUUAUAAUGUAUCAUAUAAUAUUUUCUUAUAACUUUUUAAACUGCUUAAAAUUGUUUAUAUUUUGAUUAAGCAUUUAAACUAUUUGUAAUGUCCUCAUGACACAUAGCGUUUCUUAACAAAAUUACAAUGAGUCCCACACAGCUGUGGUCCAGUGGUAGUUGAGAAUGGGAAAAUGUUGGAAAGAACUAACCCAGGUUCGAUCCACGCUAGAAACAAAAAAAAAACAUAUUUGUGUGGGAAGUCUGAACUUGGGCCAAAAGUCCAAAGCAGUUUACCUGGUACUCUAGUAACAUGCGAUCUGGCUACCCCUGGCAUUAGUCGGAAAACAUUCCAAACUCGGGACAGACAGUGUGGUGACUCUUCGGGGAAUAGUCCACUCUGAAGCACUUCAGUGCGUUUCUACCGGGGCUGACUGGAUCAGCCGAUAGGGUUUAUCAAAAAAAAAACAAUUACAAUGAGUGUGAAUUUGUUAAUGUAGUUCUUAGAAUAUAUUUUUUUAUAAACCAAAAAUAAAUAUUGUGGUAGAAUAUUUCAUAUAGAAAAUGAAUAUGGAUCCUAAUAUUUUGACCCAAAAUCAUUUAUAUUUCUCUAAUGAAGUGGUCUCAUUCUGGGCUCAGAAAGAGGAUUCAUAUAGUUCACAAAAUAAAAAAAUGAGGGUUCAAACCUUGAUAUGGUUUAAUGCCAUGAAGGAAAGAUAUGAUCGAAUCUUAGCCAUUCGAAGAAAUUAACCACCAUAUAUAGUGGUUAACAACUAGUGUAAAGGUCUCUUGGUUUUAUAAAAUUGGUUCAACGAUAGUAUAAUUUUCUCGCCUUUGAUUAAUUUUCAUUCAUCAACUAAACCAAUAUGACAAUAUAUAUGCAAUGCAAUCAAAGAUUUGGUCCAACAACUGGAAAAACUAUAGUAAUCUGAAAAGAUGAUGGGAAAAAACUAGAAUAACUGAUUUAUAUUUAAGUACAAUUACAGUUUCGUAAGUCUUCACUUAAUCUAUAGUAACUGGCUAACUGCAUAAUAGAUGAUUAUUUAAAGAUAUAAUUAAAUUAAAUUUCUAAUGCAAUAAAUCUUGGGGGUUUUUCAAAUGAUUUGCUAGCAUUUGAAGAAAAUAAGAUCCACAAAUCUAAAACAGACAAAAAAAUUGGAAGUUAACGGAUAAAGCUAUCCGAGCAUUAAAAAACAUAAAUUCCAAAUCAUAUGAAUUUUUAUUAUUCACAAUUUUCAAAUACAUGCCUCUAAACAUCUUUACUUUAUGCUAAAGUAGUUAACAAAAGACUUUGCUUUGAUUAACAAUAAUAACUAAUAAAGCUGUCAUUUAUUAUUAUAUUAAGCAUAACUAAUUAAUGACUAAUAAUAUAUUCAUAAUCCAUACAAGACGCAACAAAAAAAUUCUAUUGCUGUCAAAUCAAAUGAUUAGCCUUAAUCUUUUCUAUAUAGAUUUCGAAAGCUACACAUAUUGAGUUGUGGCCUUCACGUUUUCAAGAUAUAUGUGUGUAUAAAUUUUAUGUAUAUGCAAUCGUCAUUGUCUUAAAUUGUAAUAACAUACAAUGUGACUGUGUGAGACAGGCUGUGUGUUUUUUUUUUUUAUGUAGGUUGAAAAUUUGUGCUUAGUCACUUUCAAGACACCUCGUGCCUUUGGGUUAAAUCCAUUAUUCCCGUAGAAAAAUUUUAAUUUUUAAAUAUUUAUUAGCCUAAAUUUUACUACUUAAAUAGUAUUUUUGAAAUUUUUGCAAACCUUAAUUAUGGUAGACUAGUGAUUUUUUUGUUGUGUUAGUCAAGAAUUAUCAAUUUAAAUUUCUACUACAAAUUAAAAAUUAGCUUAUUUUUUAAACUCCCAACUAUCAAAAUUUUUUAGUUAAACAUGUCUAUCCGAAAUGAUAUAUUGAUAUGAAACCUAAAAUAAUAUAUAUGAAAUAUAGACCAAUUUACUAGUGAUCAAUUAAUUUUCAAAUUGUAAUUCCAUUAAGGGGGGUGUAUUGAAUUAAAUAUUUGGAAGGGUUUGGUGGAAUUUCUAUAUUUUAGGUUUUGGAGUGAUUUGAAUAAAAUUUUAGGAUGGUUGAGUUGAUUUGUUUGUUUUUUUUAAAAAAAAAACAAAAAUCAUUGUUGGGGUCGGAUUUCAUCCAUCCUUUGAGACCGAGCCAAACUUCAACACCUCGGGUUAUCCUGCUAGUCAGCUCGGGUACCCUGCCAGUCAGUCUGCCAGUCAGCUCGGGUAUCCUGCCAGUCAGUCUGCCAGUCAGCUCGGGUACCCUGCCAGUCAGUCUGCCAGUCAGCUCGGGUACCCUGCCAGUCAGUCUGCCAGUCAGCUCGGGUACCCUGCCAGUCAGUCUGCCAGUCAGCUCGGGUACCCUGCCAGUCAGUCUGCCAGUCAGCUCGGGUACCCUGCCAGUCAGUCUGCCAGUCAGCUCGGGUACCCUGCCAGUCAGUCUGCCAGUCAGCUCGGGUACCCUGCCAGUCAGUCUGCCAGUCAGCUCGGGUACCUUGCCAGUCAGUCUGCCAGUCAGCUCGGGGUACACAGUCAGCUCGGGGUACACUGCCGAGCCUUAUACUGCAGUUACCCCGAGGCAAAGUCUCAGUGCUACCCGAGGCUCAGUGCUACCCGAGGCAAAGUCUCAGUGCUACCCGAGGUGAUAUGUGUAUUGUUCCCGAGGCAAAGUCUCAGUGCUACCCGAGGUGAAAUGUGUAUUGUUCCCGAGGCGAAGUCUGCAAAGUCACCCGAGGCGAAGUCUUCAUCAUCACCCGAGGCAAAGACUUGAUAAAUAUUCAUCUUCAAAGUAUCAUUUCCAAACAAGGCAUCAUUUCCGAAGGGUCAUUUCCGAUAAACCCGGAAAUGAUAAAGGAGAAUCACGAAGGAUCAACUUAAAUCAGGAAAUCUUCCAAAAAACUCCGAAGAAUAAGGAAAUUAUCCUGAUCCGCGAUAUUCUACACCGACUUCAAGAUAAAUGGAAAUCUUCCGAGAAUAUCGCUGGAGAGGCGGUUUAUCACCCCUAUAUAAAGAGACUCAAGGCUCUCACAGAACAAAAAGCAACAUCGCUCUAGAAUUUACACUACGCAAAGCUCUCACAGCACAAACAUCUUUUUCCUUUUACGAUCAAACUCUUGUACGAUCAAAGUCAUCUUUUUCUUAAUAAUAUCAAGAACACCAUCUUUGGUUACAAUCGUUUCUGUUGUUCUUUGAGAAUUCACGAUUAUCGUAUCCCUAAAAUAAAACCCUAGACAAAUCUUGAUUGUGUUAGUUUCGACUUCCACAGUUUGGCGCCGUCUGUGGGGAUUACUUUAGAAUUCUCUUACCCUAAGAACGCGAGACUCGAAUACCAGAGAGGAUGGUAAACGAAGACGAUCGUCAGAUACCGCCAGCCAGAGGAGGGAACCCUAAUGCUCUGAACCCUCAGAAUCCUCAAGCCGAUCCGACAAUCUUAGCAGCCCUAGCCGAACUGAAGGAUAUGAUGGUUAAAUUCCAGAAGAAAGCUGACGAUCAAGAGAAAGCUAACAAAACCUUGGCGCAGCGAGUCGACGAAAUCGCAACACGUGGGCAACAAAAAACCACGCGUUUCCAGACUCGGCCGCCACGAGCUCGGAGGGACUUGCCUGGCAUCAACCCAACGAGACUCACGUUCGCGACACCAACCGGCAACACCGGAGUCGCAACCCGAGCCGACCCUGCCAGAUGCGAGAACCAAGAUGAUCCCACCGAGCCAGACGCAGUGGACUUGACGGACGAGCCAGAUGAUCUGCAAGAUGAGCGUACCCGAGCCGGAGCUAACUCCGCCGAGCGAACAGAUCUCACUGACGAUGAAGAAACUGAGGAGAACGUAAGAUGGGCCGAAGAAUCCGAAAGGGAGGACGAACUCAGCAAGAUCCGAGCCUCCCUAGCCAAGGCGGAAGCUGAUAUGAAGCUCGUCAAAACCCAGAUACAUAGCGUUUCAUCCUCUGCACCAAACAUCGACCGAAUUUUAGAAGAAUCUCGGAAUACGCCCUUCACCAAAAGAAUUUCCGAAACGACGAUGUCCAAUCUGGGGAAGUUCAAAAUCGACUCCUACAACGGAUCAACCAACCCGAAGUGUCACAUUAAAUCUUUCGUGAUAUCCGUAGCCCGAGCCAGGUUCAAGCCCGGGGAGAAGGAUGCAGGUCUAUGCUUGCUGUUCGUGGAACACCUCAAAGGACCCGCAUUAGAGUGGUUUUCUAAAUUGGAACGAAACUCGAUUGACAGUUUUGACAAGCUGUCGACACUAUUCCUCAAACAAUACUCCGUCCUCAUCGACCCCGGAACCUCCGACGCGGAUCUGUGGUCCCUAUCUCAACAGCCCACCGAACCGUUGAGAGAUUUCCUCACAACCUUCAAAUCGACGCUAGCUAAGGUCGAAGGAAUUACAGAUGUAGCCGCUCUUUCGGCUUUGAAGAAAGCUCUCUGGUACAAGUCAGAAUUCAGAAAAGAGCUGAACCUAUCCAAACCUACUACAAUUCGCGACGCGCUGCACCGAGCCUCAGAUUUCGUCGCCUACGAAGAAGAAAUGGAGCUACUAGCGAAGAGACACGAGCCGACAAAGCAAGCAUCCCGAACCGAGAAAGCACAAACAGGACUGCAGAGCCAGAAGAAGCCGGAUCAGAGUGAAACGUACACGCACUACGAGGGGCACGAUUUCUCAGGAGCCCACAACUAUCAAGUCGACGUAGGCCGUGGGCAAGGAAGAGAUUCAUUCACUUGGAAAAGAUGUCAACCCCCAGGUGACGAAAAAGAAUACUGCGAGCAUCACAAGACCAUCGGGCAUCACACUUCCAGAUGCAGGAGCCUCGGAGCAAUAUUAGCGGCCAAAUUUCUAGCCGGAGAGCUUGGGACGAACAUAACCCUCAAAGACCUACAGCCAGAACAAGUUCAGCCCGAACAGGUGGACACAGCAAGGGGUCCCGAGCCAAGGGAGCCAGAGGCUCCGAAGAGAGUCCGGGGAACACCCGACGAGGAGCGUGACGGAACACGACAAAGAAUCUACAUGAUAAUGGGAGGAUCAGCGUUUUGCCCCGACACCGUAGCCGCGAUCAAAGCCUAUCAGAGACGAGCCAAAGCGACCGAUGAGCCUGAGGUAGAGAUGACGAAUCCUAACCCCAUUGCCGUCACAAUUGGUUCCGAGGAGGCCGAGACUAUCCCAGUUGUGGAAACACCUCAGGAAAUACUACCGCUAAAAACCUAAGGUACGCAUAAGCUUGAACUACGGGGUGGCUUGAUCCCCGAAAAGGGUACGUAGGCAGCUCGUCCUCGGACGAGUUCAGCUACCUCCCCUUAUCAAAAAGGGGGGGGGAGAGUGGGGUCCGUAUAUCCAUACUCCCACUCAAACUUUAUCAAUUAUAUGUUUCCUAUACUCCUAUUCAAAUUUUAUCAAACUAUAUUUCUAAGUAUACACUUCGGGUUUUACUAAACCUACCUCGGUCUUUACCCCGAAACUCGCCUCGGGAAAUCAACACGGUCUAAACUCCGUUCUGUUCGUUUGGGCGAUGGCCACGCCCGCGAACUAAAUUCAUCUACACCUCCACGGUUACAGCGCGCUAUAUAAGCAUUCGAGACAAUCUGGUCGAAGAUAUCCGACCAAAGAUGAAAUUGUCUUCAGAAACCCCAGUAAAAUCUUAACACUGGUGCCCCAGUUCGCUUCUAAGCACUGGUUAUCGAUUGAAUCGAAUCGGGUCGCGACCGUGAACGUUCAAAUCUUUCUGCUAAAACCCAGUUUAUCUUAACAUUGGUACCCAUCUUUCGCUCCGGCUGCUAAAACCCAGUUUAUCUUAACACUGGUACCUAUCUUUCGCUCCGGCUACUAAAACCCAGUUUAUCUUAACACUGGUAUCUAUCUUUCGCUCCGGCUACAUAAAUUCUUUUUUACUUAGGACAAAAAGAUGUUUUGAUACGGAAACUAUUCAAAAUCAUUGUAUUCUCUUCGAAGACAAGGAUCUUUGAAAAUAGCGUUUGUAUUUACUUUGCAAAAAUACAACGACAAAGUCAUCCAUGCACAAUCUUACACUACAACCAAAAAGGAAGAAAAAGGAUGGUUCUAAGAGUGCCGCCUCAGGUUCACUGGCGACUCGAAGCAGAAGUUAACAUCUCGGUCGACUCAUUCAUGAAGCUCGUCACACUUGCUCCCAAGUCAACGAGCUGGGGGGCUAACUGUUGGGGUCGGAUUUCACCCAUCCUUUGAGACCGAGCCAAACUUCAACACCUCGGGUUAUCCUGCUAGUCAGCUCGGGUAUCCUGCCAGUCAGUCUGCCAGUCAGCUCGGGUAUCCUGCCAGUCAGUCUGCCAGUCAGCUCGGGUACCCUGCCAGUCAGUCUGCCAGUCAGCUCGGGUACCCUGCCAGUCAGUCUGCCAGUCAGCUCGGGUACCCUGCCAGUCAGUCUGCCAGUCAGCUCGGGUACCCUGCCAGUCAGUCUGCCAGUCAGCUCGGGUACCCUGCCAGACAGUCUGCUAGUCAGCUCGGGUACCCUGCCAGUCAGUCUGCUAGUCAGCUCGGGUACCCUGCCAGUCAGUCUGCCAGUCAGCUCGGGUACCUUGCCAGUCAGUCUGCCAGUCAGCUCGGGGUACACAGUCAGCUCGGGGUACACUGCCGAGCCUUAUACUGCAGUUACCCCGAGGCAAAGUCUCAGUGCUACCCGAGGCUCAGUGCUACCCGAGGCAAAGUCUCAGUGCUACCCGAGGUGAAAUGUGUAUUGUUCCCGAGGCAAAGUCUCAGUGCUACCCGAGGUGAAAUGUGUAUUGUUCCCGAGGCGAAGUCUGCAAAGUCACCCGAGGCGAAGUCUUUAGUGUCACCCGAGGCAAAGUCUUCAGAGUGACCCGAGGCGAAGUCUUCAUCAUCACCCGAGGCAAAGACUUGAUAAAUAUUCAUCUUCAAAGUAUCAUUUCCAAACAAGGCAUCAUUUCCGAAGGGUCAUUUCCGAUAAACCCGGAAAUGAUAAAGGAGAAUCACGAAGGAUCAACUUAAAUCAGGAAAUCUUCCAAAAAACUCCGAAGAAUAAGGAAAUUAUCCUGAUCCGCGAUAUUCUACACCGACUUCAAGAUAAAUGGAAAUCUUCCGAGAAUAUCGCUGGAGAGGCGGUUUAUCACCCCUAUAUAAAGAGACUCAAGGCUCUCACAGAACAAAAAGCAACAUCGCUCUAGAAUUUACACUACGCAAAGCUCUCACAGCACAAACAUCUUUUUCCUUUUACGAUCAAACUCUUGUACGAUCAAAGUCAUCUUUUUCUUAAUAAUAUCAAGAACACCAUCUUUGGUUACAAUCGUUUCUGUUGUUCUUUGAGAAUUCACGAUUAUCGUAUCCCUAAAAUAAAACCCUAGACAAAUCUUGAUUGUGUUAGUUUCGACUUCCACAAUCAUUAGUGAUUUGGUGAGACUUAUUGAAAGAAUUUGGGAGAAUUUAGUAAAAAAGAAAAGAAGAAGUCAACGACUCAUUCCUCUUUUUUUUUAAUAACUAUGUUUUUCUUUUUUAUUAUCUUCUCCUUUGCCAAACGUACGGUGUGUCACAUGACUCACAUUUUUUUAGACGUAUCUCUACCUCUGGAUUCAAUUUAAUGAUCAAUCAAUAACCAAUAGUCUCAAGUCUCAACAAGUCAAUGGAAAUAAUAAACAACAAUCUAAAGAUAUAACAUAAAACGUAUAACAUCAUGAUUCCAUAUUCAUAGCAUCUGUCCACAUGUUCUCUGCUAUUGUUGCUCUCCAAUUAUUAGCAAGUACUCUUUGUUGUUCUUGAGUACCGUGAACCUCUUCAUACGCAUUAUUUUCAUCAUCACCGCUUUCAUCAACACCAUUUUCUUCGAGAACGUCUUCUUCAGGAAGAAACACGUCUAAACGACAUUCCUUACGAAGAUAAUUAUGUAAAACAGCAUAUGCAAGUACUAACUCUGCUUGCGUCUUAUAUGGAAAGGGAGGUGCAUAUUUGAACAUGAGAAAUCUUGGUUUAAUCUGGAAUCAAGAAGAGACAUAGCAAUGAGAAUCGGUCAUGUCGUGUUCCGGUAACGAUUCGUCAUUGCUGUUAUAAGUGGAUUCGAUUGGAUACUUGAGAAUGGUUGAUAUGAGAGAGUGAGAGAAAACUUGAAAGUAAAAUCGAGAUCGAGAGAGAUAGAAAGACAAGAAAGAAGAGAGAAAAUUGAAAAAGAUAGAAAGACGAGAAGGAAGAGAAAAAAUUGAACCAGUCGUUAGUAUGUUUUUUUUGGACUUUCUUUUUAACCAAAUACCACCUCUAUUGUUUUGUUAUUAUUUUUGCACUAAAAAAGUGUUCAAAGUCUCUCCAAAUAUCUAUUUUCAGUAUUUUUCUUAAAAAAAAUUGUGAAAUUUGAAUAACAGUGGAUUUGCUUUAGUUUUUAUAAAUUCUUAAUUGAAUAACAAGAGAUUUGAAAUUAUUUGAAGUGAUUUUAUAUAAAUUCCAGUUUCAAUAACAUGGAAUUUGGGAAGAGAUUUUAAAAUCAUUAAUUGAAUAACAAGUGAUUUUAACAAAAAAAAAAAAACCAAAAUUUUUAAAAAUCACUGUUUCAGUACACUCCCCUAAAUAUAACAUGAUGUCAAAACCCGAACAUGCGCCAAUCCAACUCAAACCAAGAUCAAUAUCUGACCUGAAAUUGUCAGACCAAUAUGACCCCAAAUAGAUAAACCGAGAUUUUUAUCGAGAUGAAAGGAUAAAAAGAUAUCAUCUCAAAUGAGAGACCCAAAGACCAAAGUAAUAUGUAAGAAACAUGGGUUGGAUUAGCAAGGCUUCGACACAUACACCCACUCAAGGCCCAAAUCGAGAAACCCCAAAAAAGUUGUAAGAAAACUCAUAUGGAUAGAGCUCAUUUAUUUCUCUUUAGCUAAAUCACUUUUUUUGUGUGGGCUUGAAAUGGAACAAAUUAGAUAUUGUACAACCAAUUCCGAAGAAGAAAGACUAUAUUUGGGCCAGCAUUCUUUAAUCGCAAACAGACGUCAAGCCUUAUAGGAAUCUACUCCCUGGUAGGCAAGAAAGCCCGUAUAGCUCAACUGCACUGUGACCAGAAAGAGAAAAAAGAAAGAAAGAGAACUAGGCUAAGGUGAUUGAGAAAGCUUAUGUAAACCGCAACAUAGAGGUUGUGAAAGAGAUUAGGUUUGUAAAGGUUACUUUGAUCAUUCAUAAAAAACCUCAACUGAUUCUAACUUCAGUUUCUACGUUUAUUUUAACAUAGAAAACAACAAAAAAUCAAAAACAGAUAUCACUUUAGCGAAAUCUGAAACAUUAUCUGAAACAUUUUUAAUUUUCAGAAAAUCUGUGUACAUAAGUACAUUGCAAAUACAAACUAAAGGAGAACUUUCAUUUGCGUGUGAAAUUCAUGAUUUAUGUUUACCAUCAACAACUAUAAUUUGUUUAAAAAGCUGAAGAUUGUAAAUUCAUUUGAAUUAAUAAAAAGAAUAACUGCACAAUAAACGUAAACAAACAAUCAAAAUCAUAAUCAUGUAAUUGAGAGGCAUGCUUUGCAAUUUUCAAGUUGAAAUGAUCUCACAAAUGUGUGUACUCAAUAAACAACGAAAAGCCCUAUCAAGAAGAGACUUGGUUCCCACCUGCGCAAGCCUAUGCAUGUCAACUGGCUAAACCUAAUCCGAAACUCCAUCUCCAUCACAAAUUCAUACUCGAACCCAAGUUUUACUUAGACUCAUUCUCCAACAAAGAGCAAAACGAGUGGUAAUAAAUUUAUAGAGGAACACAAAUCCAAAAGAGCAGAGGACACAGUCAACGACGAACCAAAAGGUUCCAUAAUGCUUAAACAGUCACACUAUCCUCAAUCACAAAGUCCUUUUUCUGAAUAGAUGCAGUAAGCAAGACUAAAGGCACAUAGAAACUCUAAGUGGAAAUGUACCAAUAAGAAUCCUAGACUAAUAGUACGCUACUAUUUAAUCGACUAAAGAUCCCAUAUUCUUGCUCAUAUAUGUUACUCAUUCAGAUAAAUAACUUAACAAGGGACUAAUGUAGCAGUAAGGAGUUUAAAGUAAACCAUCUGAAAUAGUAGUACUACACCGAUUCAAAAGUAUUUCAAAUCGAAACACAAAACAUCCAAAACAUCAUUACUCAAUUCCCAGAACUGUUUGUUUCCAAAACUAAAGCCAUUACCUUGUGAAACACAUAUCCUCAAGUGUGUCGAUCGAAAUCAACGCCAACUCGAUGGCCAAUACGGAUGAAUACCAUAUCCAGUCUUCCAAUUAUCCAAGUAAACAACUUUCUUCACAGCCCAGAACGAUAUGAACAAAGCCAAAAGCAUAAUCAAUCUCUGUGCAGUAAGAUUCUUCACUCGAACAAGCACAUUGGUAACAAACGCCAAAAGCAAUCCAACAACAGUAUACAAGAAUCCAACAGCAAAUCCUUCAGCUCCAAGCUGCAUUCCAGAUCCUUGGUAGAAGAAGACAAGCUUAUUCGGAUCAUUACGAUCUUGAAGAAACAUCGGCAUUUUCCUGAUAAUGUUGUGCAUUGUACCAGCAACGCUAAAGAAGUAAAUGAAGAUAGCACCAGAUAACCAAAGUCUACUAUCAUGAAGAAUAGUUUCUCCUUUUAGAACUCGUUUGAUGAUAAACGGAGUAGCGAUAACGAUCAACGCAACGAUUACGCCGAUCUGCGGUUUCGAUAGAAGCGGUGGACGUUGAAUAGGACCGACCUUGAGUUUAGUUCGUUGCUCGACGAACUCAGCCAUUGAUUCCGCUAAUCUAGAGUAAUCCGAUUGAUCCAUUUGACCAGAUUCAUCACGUAGAUUCGAUAUCGAAGGACUUACAAGACGAAUGUGAGGUAAAGCGUUAACGCCAAAGAGCUGGAACGAAGAUUGAGACUGUGAAAACUCGAUCUCACAGAAGAAAAGCUUAGUUCCUUCAGAUCCAUUGUUGUUAGCGAGGAAUGAAGCGGAGACGAUACCGAAUUCGCGACGGAGCUCUUGAAGACGAAGCUCGUUUUUGCUGUGAAGCUGAGUUGCGUCGAAGAAGACGAGUAACGAGUAAGGACGAGGAGUGGAAGCGGAGGUUAGGAAUUUUGAGAUUCCAUGGUCAUCGAGAUGGAUUACGCCUGAUUCGCUUGUUGAUCUGAGAGAUACAAGUUCGUUUAGAAGAUCUGAAUCGGAAUCUGAAUCGGAAAACGAAGCUGCGAAUGCGGAUGAUAGUGUUGCUACGAGGAAGAGAAGAGAGACGAGUUUUGAUUUGACCGCCAUUGUUGAAUGUUGAUCUCUCUCUCAGAUUCGAGAAGAAGAGAAAAGUGAAAGAAAAAGGUAUUUGCCGUUUACCAAAAAGCCUCUGGUUGGAGAAGAAGGUCUUCGAAGUUUUUGGGUUUUUUGGGUAUCUCGCUGGUAGUCCUACGUGGAAGGUUUUUGUUGGUUGAUGUAUCCACGUGGAUAGUUUCGAUUCGUGGAAUAAACUCUGAUACCUAUGAGUGAGGCUAUGAGAUUUUAGUAUUUUACGAGACAUUCGCCUUGUUUAAUUUGUUUUUUUUUUUUUUUUUUUGUUAACUGGAAUAAACUCUAAUUUUUCUUAGCUCCAAAACAGUGAAAUUUUAAUUUAAAAUAAGGCUAAGAUUCAAGGUUAAGAACCAAUUGGAGAUUACUUUGUUUAAUUUUAAUAGAUUAGCAUUCGUGCAAUGUAGUGUUUUGUCUUUGAUAAAAAAAAAAUCUUUCUGUUUCAAGUUAUUUUGUUGGUAGAUGUUUGUUUGGGAGGAGGUAGACCAAUUGUUCUUAGUUAGAAUCGGAUGAUGGAUAAUGAAGUUAUUCUUGCUUUGGAUUUAAAAGAGACUAAUUACAAAAAAAAAAUGACCGAAUCCCUUUUUAUUGAUUAUCGAUUAUCGAAAUUUUUACAUAUAUUAUUAAUAAUGAUACCACAAUUUUUUUUAAAAAGUUUUUAUCAACAUCAAUAAUUUUUACCGAAUCUCUAGUCGUUCCACCACGAAAACAUCCUCCUUCACAACUUAUUUUUCAUCUUUUAUUUUUCUCCUUUACCACUUAUAUUUUGGUAUAGAAUAUCACACUCUUCCAUCUUUUAAACCAAAUUCUUCUUCAAAUGUUUAGGUGCUUGUCUAACACCAUCAAUACAAUUCACAACCAUUAUUAUGGAUACUUUGUAAAGGAGAGUUGGAGAGGUGUAGAUUAAGGGUAUUAAUGUAACUAGGAUGAAACCCGCGCUAUGCCGCGGGUAUGUUUUUGAAUGUAAUUUUUUAAAAUGAUAUGUACCUUAAGCAUCAAUAGAGAAUCAUUCUUGUCUGUUCCUAUCUUUUGGCAAGCUUAGAUGAGUUGACGUCGUUGAUGAUUCUCUAUGGAAUUCUUUUUCUUUUUUUUCAUGGAAGUUUGUAUUUCUUAUUUCAUGGCGAUGAUAGUGCGUCUCAUUCUGGUGUAUGUGCUAACUUUAUUUCCACAAUUCCACUUACAAAAGUUGGUAUCAGGAGAGUUUGUACAAAUAUUUGCAGGCUUUAUGAUAUUCUUCUCGAUUCUUGGUAAGCUUGUCUCUUAUAUAAAAAUCCAUUUAGAAUUGAAGUAGAUCCCAUUAAGUAAUCUUCUUAUAUAUAUCCAAUGCAGGGAAGUUUGGGGCAGUAUUCGCAUCAAUACGUGCUCCUAUAAACGCUGCCUUGUACUGUCUCUUCUUUGCCUAUAUAUGUAGGUAAGUAUUGUUUCUAAGAAGAAGUGAAUAAUAUAGUAGGGUGGGUAAAUCUGAUUUUCGACUUGGCUUUGAGUGAAGCUGCUCUCUUUAUAUUCAGAUAGAUAGCUUGAUAUAUCUUCCCUUUGUAUAGUUUAUUCUAACUCCUAUAUAUAUUUACUCUUUAUGUUUUGUAGCUCUUGAAAAAGUUUUCUAAAGAUCUGCCGUCUUGGAGAUAGUGAAAAAAGGUAUGUGUCUUAUCCUCUUAUUAGUCAUACUCUGGUUAUAUUCCAUUAGCUUUGCAAAAUUUGGUUCUUAUGUAGAAAUUGUAAUGGAUUAAUCAAGAUAUAACCAAUAAGUUGGAUAUAGUGUAUAGAUAGUUCUCAAUUUUUUAAUCCCAAUACCAUGCAAAAGUUAGUAUAGUUCUCAAUCUAAAUAGCAAACUCAUAAUCAGCAUAAACCAAUGAAAAGCAAAAAAACGAAGGAGCUAUUCAAUUUAAAACUUUGGAGGUAUUCAAACAGAGCUUUUGCUAUUGAGAAGCUGAAUAAAAAAAUCUAUGAUUUCAAAAAAUGAACAUUGUUGAGCCAAAAAUGUUUCAGUUGGAUGGCACGGCUCCAGUUACGUCUUUGGUGUUUCUCUGUUCGUGGAGGAGACAAAGAUCAUGCAUGAGGUAAAUUCUCUUUAUUCAAAUUCCAUGUGGCAUAUCUUGUUUUUAGAAUAAGAAUAAUCAAUAAAAAUAGUUUUAGAUUACAUGUUUUCCUUGUUCCGCAGCACAUGUAGCAUCACAUCAGUAAGAUGAAAACGACGCGAUGGAUGUUAAUCAUAAAAAAUCGAAACCUGCAAGAAAAACUCUCAAUCAACUCUCAUGUGAAAACAAAUCUAGAGCAUUAAGGCGGUUUGGAAGAUUGUUUACAACGAUAAUAAUCCAUACUCAUUCCAAGAAAGAGACAUUUUAUUACUAAUCUUGAAAGGACCAUUCUCAUAGAACAUAGCCAACUCACUGCUACAUCCAGGCCCUCCAACCAACCAAAUCACAAUGGGAGCGUCCUUCUUGUUGCGUGACUCAAAGUGAACAAACAAAGCAAAUAAACACUACUUUGAGAUUCCAAUUAGUAAAACGUCACCAAAACUCCAAUGUUCAAAAAUCAAACUAAUACACAAACCUACUCAAGAGCUAGCUGCAAAUUGUAAUUGAACCACAAACAAGUCCAUAACGAUUUCUCAAAUUUUAAAGUUCUAGAAGUUGCUAUACUCUACCAUAAAAAGCUCAAAAUCGAGCAGAUCCUUGAUCAUAUCAAGUGAUAUAGUGUCACUGAAAGGAAACGUAGAACUCAAAGGAGGUUGAAUUUCUCACCUGGAUUUCUUGUCUAGGUAAACACCAUGGAUUUGGGAAUGGAGGAAGAUCAAGCAACCCGGAAGAGCCUAUUUCAUCGAUCAGAAGGCAAAACCCAAAGCCUAUUUCAACAAAACCCACCAUGUUUGGGGUUUAUGAUUAUAAACAAAAUAAUUAAAAAGCCCAUGAAUUAAAAAUAUCAAGAUGGGCAUUUAAAAAGCCCAAGAUGAUUAUAAAAAAAAUGAUGUGGAAUUGAGGAAGAUUUUUACUGGACGGAAAUGAUGAGCUGUAUUAAUGUUAUAAUUUGAUUGGACAGCUUUUUUAAUGAUUUGUCAGGCUGAGAAUAGCUGAAAAAACUGAUGUGUCGUUUUAUUGUAUUGAUUAGUCAUGACUUAAACCUUAAGGUUAAGACCAGAGCCGACCACAAGGCCAAGCAGGCAAAGCACAUGUUUGUGGCCAUUAAAUAAUAUCAUUAAUUUUCGGCCACAUUUAUGUAAAAGUUCAUGUGGUCUAGUGGUUAUAACUCAGUGGUGCAGUCAACAAUUCUUGGGUUUGAGUCUUGUGGCCCAAUAUAUUGUAAAUCAUUUGUAUCAAUAAAUCAUUCAGCCUACAUUUUUAUUUGGUAUCAGAGAAUUUUCUUGAGUCUCAAAGCUUCUAACAACAACAUUCCUCACUUGUCACAAAGAACCCGAGACACACUACACAUUUUAUCUUAUCACAUCUUGCGUAGUUGCGUGGGCUUAAUGUCAGUCACACCAUCGCCAAAUGAAACUAAUAUUUGCUUGAACCGCCAAUAGUAACUCGAUUCCAUCUCUAAUCGUGCGUUUUAAUCAAAACGCGUUUACUGAUUUUCCAAAUUCAUUUUAAAGAGAAAAACAAAAAGGAAAGAAAAAAAGAUUUAAACAUAAAUAAAAUUGAACACCUGUAAGUUCUCGUCGUGACCCAUUCGAAUCGAUUUUAGGCGCUAGGGUUUCUUCAUCCAUCUCUCCGAAGAAGAAGAUGGUUUGCGAUAAGUGUAAGUCCUUCGAAUUUGUUCGAUCAUUGUGUUGGGUUGUGAUAUUAUCGCCCUUAUUAGCGUUGGGAUUUGUGAUUCGAUUCGGAUUUUAGCUUAAUCUGUUACAUGUUUCAGGAAUAAACCUAAUGAUUUCUGAUUCGAUUUUGGUUUCUUAGAUCGAAACCCUAGUUAUAGGAUCUGUAAUUUAGUUCAAAGCAUGAACCUUUGACUCAAGUUUUUGAUAAUCUUCUAAUUUUAGGUGAGAAGAAGUUAUCGAAAGUGAUAGUGCCAGAUAAGUGGAAGGAUGGUGCUCGUAAUGUAACUGAAGGUGGUGGCCGUAAAAUCAAUGAGAACAAGCUUCUCUCUAAGAAGAAUAGGUAUGUGUUCUUAAGUUUUUCCAUCUUUAAUUUACUCGUCUUCAUCAAUUGAAUGCAAAACAUGGAAAUUGCAAUAACUUUGUAACUUUGGGGAUGUUUGUAUCGUUCUUUUUAUCUUUUAGAUAGGUGUUGGUUUUGUUUCCUGUAGUUUCUUCUAAGAACCAUUAGUAAAUGUAGAAGUUCUCAUGGAAAUAGCGAUAAAUCUGUAAGUUUGGGAUGUUUAAAUUGUCUUAUUUGAGUUGAGUAUUGGUUUGUUCCCUCUAGGUUCUUCUAAGAAUCAUUAGUAAAUGUACAACUUCUCAUGGAACCAGCGAUAUUUUGUAACUUUGGAUGUUUGUAUUGUCUUUUUUUGAGUUGAGUUAUUGGUUUUGUUUCCUCUAGGCUUUUCUAAGAAUCAUCAGUAAAUGUUUAGGAAGAUCGAAUUUUGUGUAAAGCUCUAGUCUAGUACUCUAAUAUUUUUCAUGUGUUGUAGUACUCGCUAUCGAAGAACUAGUUAGAAUAAAUCGUUUAAGGUUUAGUGCUCUUGUGGUUAUCUUUCUUUGCUGCUUCUGAUUUUGUAUUGUGAUGUUUCUUUGCUUUGUAGAUGGUCACCUUACAGUACCUGUACCACAAAAUGCAUGAUCUGCAAGCAGCAAGUGCAUCAAGAUGGUAAAUACUGUCACACAUGUGCCUAUAGCAAAGGUAAAUAGUAAAUACAUCUGUUUUACUGCACGAAAUUCUUACCUCUGGUUAGAUAUUAUAAUAAAGUAGCUCAACAACUGAAGGAAUUGCCUCUUCGUGGUUGUGCAGGAGUGUGCGCAAUGUGCGGAAAGCAAGUGUUGGACACCAAGAUGUACAAGCAAAGCAAUGUAUAAACAAAUGAGCAAGCGUUUCACAUUUUAGUCUCAGUCCCUUUGAUGUCAACUUUGUACCACCGGGACAACUUAUCCUCUCACUCAUGUAUUCCUUUGUACCGGUUUCCUUCAGUUUUAAUAUAACAAAACAAAAUCUUGUUUGUUCACUGUGUUUCUUGACUAAUCAUAAAGUUCUAAUGUUUUGUUUUCGAGCUCGAAAUUCAAGUAUCAAAGAUAUAUUUGAACAUUCCACUGAGCAAAUUUGUUUUAAACAAAAUUGAGUCAAAACUAGACCAUGUCCAUUGACAGACAUGAUUCAUCUUGUAUAUGCCAAAUUGAGAUUUGGUUCCUGGUACCGUACAAUUAUACUACUGUCUCUUCUUGUAACUUGUUCGUUGAUCAGAUCUCUUAUAACAUUAAAGUAGAGUGAUAAUGGUAAAAAAGUGUCUCUGAAACUUGAAUUGUCUUGUGUAUCCUGGCAUGGUAAGUGACAAGUAGCUUAUCUUCUCCGCUUCGAUUCUUUACGCAUUUCUGCAAAGUAAUUCUCAAGAUUCUGCUUCUCCCACAGCCUUUUCUGUACCAGAUCUUCCUUCCUAUAUUCAUCUGAAAAUUAUCGCAUUUGCACAAUCGUUUUAAUCACAUUGUAUUAGAAAUCAAUCUUUAUCCAUAAGUCGGUUCAGGUUGGGGAAUUAGAGAAUAGAAGGAUACCUAGAUUAGCCCAUGCGUCGGCAGGCACACUAAGUGAUCUUCGGGUUAGGUACGAUGCGUCUUCCCAUGAAUAAGGAGCUUUCUUGAUCUUAUAUCUCCACACCCAACUGCUGUACCAUACUAGAAGCUGGAAGGUAACAGAAAGUUGAAUCAGCGAUCUCAGGAAAAUAAGAUAUGAGAAUCUGUGAAAUGUGGCACAGUGGAAGUAUUUUUUUAAAUGAAACCUUAAUGAUAGUGUACGGUAGGAGAAUGAAUCGAACACCGAGAAGAUCCCAGACCGAUGGUUUUUCAGCUCCUUUGAUUUGUAAGUCGAGUUCGUUACUUAGCUCUUCCUGUAGUUUCCUGCCAAGACAAAAAAUGAUUAUGAUUUAGUCAGCGAUACGACACAAUCUCAUCUAAUAAAAAGCCCAUUUAUAUAACUAGGGCAGCAUACUGGUCAAUCUGCUUUGAACCCUUCUUCUUGUUAGUUACUCCACCAGUGCGUUCGAGUUCUAAUGCCUUGAGCUUAUUUUUAUAAGCAGGAGUUCGUUUAACCGACGCUAUAGCCUGCAUGAAAACAAUAAUGCAGGAUCUCAUCAAGAAAAGGAGCCGAAAGUUCAUAUCUUGUAUAAUUUUCUAAUCAUACACUUAAGAGUUUAAGCUACAUAGAGUUCUCAUAACAAAGUAUGUGAAUCACAUUCAAGAGGUCAUAUGUCCAUAAAUUCUACGUUUCAUGAGAUGUUAUGAUACAUGUGAUACGUGUUGCGCAUACCUGUGAUAUGUAGAUGAGUAGUUCUGAUGCUUAAAAAUAUAACAAGAUAUGUUUAGCACGAAUCAGAAAAAACGCUACAGAACAGAGACUUAAGACUAUUAAAACAUAGUGAGAGACUUCCUAUCUCUAAUACGUACCUCAUUAUACCUUGCCACGUUGUUCAGAUACUGAAACGCAGACAAAACCACCAAUAGACCAACCAAAACAGCACGGGGAUCCUAAAAACACAUCAGGCAGUUGUAUCAGUUAAAAAAGCCAAUGUUUCCCCGCAAGAAAGGCUAUCACAAACAUCCAAUAAUAUCUUACCGACUUAUGUCCAUAUUUCGCCCGGUAAUAUUGAGCGGUGUUGUAAAAUACCUACAUACAAAGAAACACAAAGCGGUAGAGACAAAUUUCAGAAGAUCUUUCAUCUGUUCAAUCCAUAAAUUGCUAGAAAACAAGUAUGACAAUGCCAUUUCUCAUAAAAAAUGUUGUACUGACCUCUUCUGGAUGUUCAAUUGCAUAAUCAUAUUGUGCCCGAGUAGUAUUAUCUUUCAAAAUCUACAAAAAGGAUUACAAAACGAACCUUCUCGUUCCAUUAUUCUCAGCUAUAAACUAAAACUAGAUCAUCAUCCCUAAGAAACUAUACGCAGAUGUAUAGUGAGAUUGACUAAGCAAGAUUCAAAAUUCAAAAUCAUAAAAAGAUUGAAGUACCUCAUAAGCAGUGGCGAUUUUCACAAACAGUUUCCUCGAUUCAGGAUCCGGAUUCUUAUCUGGAUGACUAAAUCGAUUCAUCAAAACAAAGAUUAGCAAAAUACACAAUCACGAUCAAAUCCAAUCAAUCUGAACAAUAAAAUCAACAAAUCCAGAAUCAUUACUGUUGAAGAGAAAGCUUAUAAUAAGAUCUCUUGAUAUCCGAUGCGUUCGCAUCUUGAGCAACUCUGAAAUCGAAAAUGCAAAACGAUUAAGAGAGAAUGAAAAAUCAAAAUCUGAAUUUGAAAAUGGAGAUCGGAAGCUGAACAAACCCGAGAAGAGCAUAACAAUCUUCAGCACCGCAAUAAAUUGCCGUCGAAGAUUGGACGAAUAAGGAGAGAAAGAGAAGAAUCAAGGCCAAGCACCACCGCUCCGUCACCGGCGGCGCCAUCUCGUGAUUAGUCGUCGGCGAAUUGAGAGGAAAAAUACUCUUUGGGCCUUUUUUGUUUUGUUAACAGAAAUUGUGAGAUUUUUUUUUGUGAAGAGUCAACAAUAAAUGUAACUUUUUAGAAUAUUUAAUUUUGUUGGGCCAUUAUGGAUUUACGUUAGUAGUAGUAUAUUCUCCUCUUAAAUAAUUGAGUCUUAUCGUGCGAAAUAAUAGGAUUUAAAUAUACUUAUUUAUAUUAUUUUUUUACUAUUUAGAUGAAAACGUAUAUAUAUAUAUAUUUCCUUAUGUAUUUUUUUUUAAAAAAAAUUUAAUAGACACAUAUAAACAAAUUAUUGUUUUGAAGGCAACACAUAUAACACAAGAAUCUUGUAUUAGUAUCGUUUUUGUAUCACCUGUUAUAAUUUGAUGGUAUAAUGAUAAAUUUAAAAAUUUAUAUGAACACGAAAAUAAUACAUAAAGGAAAUAUGGAUAGAAGAUUAUUUGAUUCUUGACAAGAAAUAAUGCUAAAAUUAGUAGAUUUUAUGAUUUUAUUAUAUAUUGCUUAAGGAGUGGCUUUUGACACAUGAAUGUUUGGAGAGGGCCUUAAGAAGCCGAACAAGCAAGUCAGAAGUUGAUGAGAUCCAUAAACGGAAGAAGACAUAUUCUGUGAGUUAGAAUCAUCAGGUUCAUUUGAUCACUUACCUCUGCUUUUUGGUCAUUUUCUUUAAAAUUUGCUUAUAACAAUUCUGGCAGAUUGUUUCAUCUUAUCUUAAAAUCUUUAUAUAUUAAUGGGGUUGAUUAAUCAUUGUUGAUUUAUAUUUGAUUUUGGUUUCUGAAAAUUGUUACUAUGAAAUAAGUUAAGGACAAACUAUAUAUUUCAUAUUUUCUAAAAUAGUUUUGAAAAUGAUAUGUCAAGAUGUUAGGCUUUAAAACUCAAGAAAUAAUUAGAACUUCAUAAAUAAAAUUAAUUCAAUAUAAAAAUUAAAAAGUAUCUUUAGAAAAAAACUAUACGUAUAUUAUAUUUAAUUAAGAAUAUACUUUAGCUGUAAAUGGUAACACAAUUUUGAAGGUAUUGUUGAUGAAUUUUGUAGGAAAAAAGAAUUUUACAUUAUUUGAUUGUUGAAUAAUAGUUGAGGAAUAUGUGAGGAAAUGUUGAUAAAUUGAGAAUACAUAAAACAUAACAAUUUUGGUACAUGAUAUUAAAAAUCACAUUUGUAUACACAAUAUAAUGCAAUAUCAUUUGUGUACAACAAUUUUAGUAUACAUUAUGAUGCAACAUAACAUCUUUUAAAGAUACUACUAUUUAUAUUUUACUUCGGUGUUUGAUUUUACUUUUAUUUUUAAGGUGUUGGGACUUUUAUGUGUCAACAACUAGAUUUUAACCCGCGGUACACCGCGGGGCUAUACUUUAAACAAAAGUUUGAAAAUUAUCUAUAGAUAUAACCUAUUGUUUUGUUUGGUUAAAUAUACUUACAUAUGUAUAUAUUAUAUAUAUUACCCCGCGAUACUUCGGGUCGAUUUUUUAUCAAUAAUUUUUAAAUUUUAAGUUGUAUUUUUUUGUUAAUAUUAUUUAUUUUAUUUAGUGUUUAAGAUUAUAUAACUGUAUUUGAUUGUUAAUCCUAGGAUUUCACCUGUAGUAUACCGUCCCGUAUUAAUAUCGACCCAAACCCGUCCCACCAUAUAACCCGUCCCAUGAAAUUAAACAUCAUUUUGUUAUAUUUCUUUUUAAUAAUAUUUUUAUUUAAAAACAUAUACAAUUCGAGUCAAUUUAUAAGUCUGCUUUAAAAAACAUAUAGUUGUAAUGUUUUUAUUAUAAUAAAGUAAUAAUAUAUAGAUGUUGCUUACUAUAGUUAUAAUCAAAACCAACUAAAAAUCUAAGUUUAGUGUUGAUUAUGAAUCAUAGUUACAACCAAAAAAAAAUUAAUCAAAUACAAUUAGUGUAAAUUAACUAAUUAAGAAAACAAACAGAAAUAUAACAAAACUUGCUUUAAAAUCGUUAACAAAAAAAGGAAACAUCAUAUUUAAGCAAGAUCUUUGGAGCCAAAAUCUUUUUUUCAUAUCUUUUAUUUAAUUUUCCAAAUCUUAAGAAUUAAAUCCAGUGGCAUUCCAUUGUAAAUACAUUCCAACUCCAGGAUUUAUUUGCUAAAAGUCAUCCAAAAAUGUAUAUAUAGAUUUGAUUUUACUUUUAUUUUUAAGGUGUUGGGACUUUUAUGUGUCAACAACUAGAUUUUAACCCGCGGUACACCGCGGGGGCUAUACUUUAAACCAAAGUUUGAAAAUUAUCUAUAGAUAUAACCUAUUGUUUUGUUUGGUUAAAUAUACUUACAUAUGUAUAUAUUAUAUAUAUUACCCCGCGAUACUUCGGGUCGAUUUUUUAUAACAAUAAUUUUUAAAAUUUAAGUUGUAUUUUUUUGUUAAUAUUAUUUAUUUUAUUUAGUGUUUAAGAUUAUAUAACUGUAUUUGAUUGUUAAUCCUAGGAUUUCACCUGUAGUAUACCGUCCCGUAUUAAUAUCGACCCAAACCCGUCCCACCAUAUAACCCGUCCCAUGAAAUUAAACAUCAUUUUGUUAUAUUUCUUUUUAAUUAUAUUUUUAUUUAAAAACAUAUACAAUUCGAGUCAAUUUAUAAGUCUGCUUUAAAAAACAUAUAGUUGUAAUGUUUUUAUUAUAAUAAAGUAAUAAUAUAUAGAUGUUGCUUACUAUAGUUAUAAUCAAAACCAACUAAAAAUCUAAGUUUAGUGUUGAUUAUGAAUCAUAGUUACGACCAAAAAAAAAUUAAUCAAAUACAAUUAGUGUAAAUUAACUAAUUAAGAAAACAAACAGAAAUAUAACAAAACUUGCUUUAAAAUCGUUAACAAAAAAAGGAAACAUCAUAUUUAAGCAAGAUCUUUGGAGCCAAAAUCUUUUUUUCAUAUCUUUUAUUUAAUUUUCCAAAUCUUAAGAAUUAAAUCCAGUGGCAUUCCAUUGUAAAUACAUUCCAACUCCAGGAUUUAUUUGCUAAAAGUCAUCCAAAAAUGUAUAUAUAGAUUCUUCGCAACAAAAUCGAUUGAACAAAGAUUUUGGUAAGAGGUUUAAGCAAUCUUAGAUGGGCCAUAUUUAUCUUAUUACACAACGUUUUUGAUUUUUUCCCUUUUUCUUUUUUCUUUUAUAAUAUCAAAUGCUUCUAAAACACUGAUUUGUUAGAAUUGAGUCCAUGAUUAAAUCUUCUAAUAUCAUAUGUGUUAGUUUGUAUGUAAAGUCAACGGAUGUAAUGUGUUACAUAUGACUUACCACGAACGGGUGUGAGUAAGAGACGUAACUUGUCGGUGAAGUUACAACUGUUACCAACGGUUACGUGGAGUAGUUAUGUAAACAUGUAUAUAAGUGUGUAUGUCUUGUCGAGUAAAAAACAACAAGUUUCAGAUUCAAUAAAGAGUUAUUUUUGUUCUUGUCUUCUUUACAAGAGAAGAGACAAAUGUCUCUUGCAUUGUUUUUCUUCUUUCUCUCAAUAUUCCAACAUGAUUCACAUCACAUGUUAGCAAAGCAAGCUGACUAUAACUCUUAACAUAUGGACACUUUGCAGGAGUAUGUCCCUCCAACAAGAAACCUCAAAUCUUCUCAAUUAUAUUAAUCAAAUUUUAGAGAAGAAAAUUACAUGUAAAUAUACCAACUUAAAUCAUAUAUUUUGAUUCACAUAGCUGAUAGAAACAACUUGAAUCAAUUUAGAACUAUAGCUAGUAGUACCAUAUGAUUAUAUUAAUAGACAUGGUAAUAUUAAAAAGGAAUGAAAAUAACCAUUAGACCCAUCAUAUUAAAUGCACUUUUAGCUACUUAGUUUUAAUCUACCUUUUUAGUUAAAUAUUUAGAUACUUAGUUGUCAAUUCUUUUCUUCUCAAAGUGUAAUACCCAUAAUAUUUUCCAAGGUAUCUUUUGCUUUCUUCUUAACUACCACCAAUGUUUUGUUUUUUUUUUAAAUUGCUACAUAAACCUCACAAUCCAUCAGUUUACUUCCCAUGGCCCACUAACCCUAAAUCCAUCCAAAAAAAACAUGCACAACAAGGUCGAUUCGUUACCGGUUCGAUCGAACCCAUCAACCCGGCCUAUAUCCCGUCACCAGUCGGCGAACAACAUCGUUCAUCGGGUCAAAGAAAGCCUCACAACAAGAGUCUCUAAACUCAUAUGUGCCAUUUUCUUAUCUCUUUUACUAUGUUUAGGCAUUAUCACUUUCAUCUUAUGGAUCAGUCUACGACCACACCGACCACGCGUCCAUAUCCGCGGGUUCUCUAUCUCGGGUCUAUCCAGGCCUGACGGGUUCGAGACAUCACAUAUAAGCUUCAAGAUAACGGCUCAUAACCCAAACCAAAACGUUGGCAUUUACUACGAUUCCAUGGAAGGAUCCGUUUACUACAAAGAGAAACGGAUCGGGUCGACUAAACUCACUAACCCGUUUUACCAAGACCCAAAGAACACGAGCUGGGUCGACGGAGCCUUAGGUCGACCCGCAAUGGCAGUGACUAAGGAACGCUGGAUGGAGAUGGAACGAGACAGGAAUCAAGGGAAGAUAGUGUUCCGUUUGGAGGUAAGGUCCGUGAUACGUUUUAAGGUGUACACAUGGCACAGUAAGAGCCAUAAGAUGUACGCAAACUGUUAUAUUGAGAUCGGUUGGGAUGGAAUGUUGUUGAGUGGGACUAAAGACAAGAAAUGUCCAGUUUAUUUCACUUGAACAAAAGUGUAUGUGUCUCCAUAAUAAUUUACAUAAAUCCAUAUUAACAUGAUGAGAUUACAUAUUGUUUUUUAAUGAUUACAAAAUUAUGCAAACAUUUUAUUGUUUUAUCUGUAUAAAAUUUGGUUGUAUAACAUUCGGCUCUUGAUGACCUGUACAAUGUUUUUUUCUUUUAUUAAUCAUUAUCAAUAUGAUUCGACACGACAUUAGUGUUCGUUUUGUUUUCGUUGACGGCCGACAUCAGUGUUUUAUAUAAUCUUACAGAAUCUCCAACUGUUCAUAUAUUGAGUUCUCUCGUAUGGUUCUCAUGAAAAAAGAAUUUUAAAAAUAAAUCAAAAUUAUUAUAUGAAGAGAAACAGUUUUCUUGUGAGAGCUUUUGAGAUAAAUCAAGAGAGACGAUGACAUGGCGUCAUACCAUUGGUCGAUUUUUAGACAAAACAAAGAAAAAAGAACGCAAUAUAAAAAAAAACAAUCACGCGUCAAAAAAAAAAACCCGACUCUCUCUCUUUCUUUGCCAGCGAUGGCAAUGGCUAGGUCUGGGUAAAAUAACCGAACCACAAGAACCGAACCAGAACCGAAAAAAAAAAAAAAAACCGGAACCGAACCGAAAUUUUAAAAUAUUCAAAUGGAUCCUAAAUUUUAGAACCUAAAGAACCAGAACCGGAACCGAACCGAACAGAAAUAUUUCGGAUAUCCAAAAAUACCCGAAAAAUGAGUUUAUAUUAGAAAAUAUUAGUUCUUUUUAUAUCCAAUAGCUUAAAAUACCCAAAAUACCAAUAAAUAUUUGAAAAAUAUAUAAAAAAUACUUAAAAUAUCCAAAAAAUGCUCAAAAAUAUCCGAAAAUACCCAAAAAUAUCCAAAAUACCUAAAAAUAUCUGAAAAAUAUGCAAAUGGAUCAUAAACUUCAGAACCGAAAGAACCGGAACUGGAACCGGAACCGAACCGAGAUCCAAAUUCAAUGGAUGGAGAGUAAUCGAUUCAGCUUGGAUCGUAAUUGGUAAGAGCAUCUAUGGAAAAAAUUUCGCAACAAUCAACAGAAUAACUAAUCGUUUUUUUUUUUUUGCAAAUUUAUUUUCAAAUGUAUGAAAUUAUUGUAUGUUUAAUAUGUUAUGAGUUGUAAUAUUUUCAGUUUUAUGAAAUAAAAUAAUUAAAAAAAUAAUUUAAUUUUUUUCUGAAAACCCCACAAAGAGAGCCUACCAUUAGAUUUUGCAAAAUUAAAAAAAUUUAACAAAAACUCUCAUCUCAUAAAUUUGAAAAUUUUAUUCUUAAAAAAAUGGUGAGAGCCCAUAGAGAAAAUGCUCUUGCGCGUUUGAUUCAUACGUUGGGAAAAAAUUAUACUUAUGUUGUCGACUAGGGAUAUAUCAUUUAAUCAGGAAGGGCAUCACCAGCUACAGUAGUUGCAUUCUCACCACCCUCUCCCUGUCAACAUACAUGGGAUUGAGCAGCCCCCUAUCUCAGAGGGUUUACCCCAUGGCCAGUUUGCGAUGAAAGAAACUUCAGAAUGCAGCCCACAUAGACGUCGUACAACUUAUUAUUAAGGAUAAUUAUGUUUAAUUUGAGAGAUUGAGCUAAGCAAUUGAUAUUUGAUAAUAAAUAAAUAAAAUUUAUAUUGAGCUUUUAAUAGAAAAAACUCUGUUUAUUUUUUUUUGUCUCUAAUUACGUAAAUUUGAAAAGAAAAUAAAUAUAAAAAUGGGGAAAAAUAUCUUAUUAUAAAAUUUAAUAUAAAAUAGGCAUGCAUAUAAUUUUAUAUUAUUUUAAGUUUGGAACCUCGUCCUAUUUAUACAUUAUCAAGAUCAUAAUCAUUAAAGUUAAAUUCGGACAGCUUGGCCCAAAGUUGACCAAGAGAGGAAAAAAAUAGAGUAUAGUUUUCAAAAGAACGAGAAUAUGAGAACCAAAUAAUGCCUACUAAAAGGAUAUAUAUAAGAAGAAUUAAUUCAAAUAAUAGCUGAAUCUUUGUUGAUGACCACAACAAGGUUACUCAAAAGAAGAUGUUCUCUCUCCCUAAUCAUCAAUCAAAAUUCAUCUACUUUCUCUCUCUCUUUUUCUCAUCAAAACCCUAAAUGCACAACCAACGUAUCUCCUUAGCUAUUGCUACACAUCAGGAAACUACACGGCAAACAGUUCGUACAAAUACAAUCUAGAUUCUUUAAUAUCCGUUCUUGAUUCUCAAUCAUCCAACAAAGGUUUUUACAGCUACGCCUCCAGUUCUUCCUCAAGCACAACAGUUUAUGGAACUUAUCUAUGUCGAGGAGACAUUUCGUCUUCAAAAUGUGAAACAUGCAUCUCAAGAGCAUCCAAAAACGUUUUUAAAUGGUGUGCUGUCCAAAACGAAGCUAUCAUAUGGUAUGAAGAAUGCUUCCUCAGGUACUCCAACCAUCAGAUUUUCUCGAUUCUUGAUCAAGGGCCAUUUGUUACAUGGACGACUUAUGAUACCAUGUUGUACCAAUCUUAUUUCAUUAAUACCGUGGAAUAUAGUAUAGACCGGCUGAUACAAGAAGCCUAUUCGCGUUCUUCAUAUUUUGCAGAAGAAACUUAUCAUGUGAGUUGUCUUGGAGAAGUUUACGACCUAAUAGGAUUGGUAUACUGUGCACACCCGAUCUAAAUCAGUAUGAUUGCUAUAGGUGCUUGAAAUCAGCGUAUAAUGAGACUGAAGGUUGUUGUUAUGGAAAACGUUUUGCGUUGGUUUAUACCACCAACUGCAUGUUGACAUAUAAAGCCACUUUGUUAGCCCCACCACCACCUCCUCCUCCACCUCCGCCAGGACCACCACCACCUCCUCCACAACGUUUUUACCACGAAAAUGAAAAUCCUAGCUCCGAGGAAUCAUUUUUCGUUUAAAUUAAAAGGUGAGAACGAUAAUAUAAUUAUUCGCUAGGUUUGAUUGUUUUGUCGUUUAUCUAGAUUCUAGAGUAGUUAAAAGGAACAUACUCUUUAUUUCUUAUUAGCAAAAUUGCUUUUAUAGUUUUAUGUAAAUAUAUAUAUAUAUAUAUAUAUAUAUAUAGUUUGAACCUUAAUAGGUAUAUAUAUUAUGAACCUUAAAAUGAUAAGUUGAUUGAAUUUGAUUAUGUUUCCUUUGAUAGUCUUUAACAUAUAUGGAGUUUGAUCAUGCAUGUAGGUAAAGUAUUUCGAAGAAUCAUAGCUCCGGUGAUAGCUGCGGUUGUAGUGAUCUUGGUGAUAUGUGUGUGUUCUCUUUGUUGUUGUUGCAUUAAAAAGAAAAAGAAGGCAAACGAAAGAGAAACAUCGAUAGAAAUUUCGACGCUUAACAUUGGUGAGAAUCUCACGGUUGAUCACCAAUAGCGAACACCGAAUCAGAUUUACCAAAGUAACUCAUUGUUUGUUUAAAUCAGAUUUCAGUUGUACUGAUCACUAUUCAAACCAACACAUUCAAAUAGCUAUCUGUUUAUCGUUGCCAACUUAAUUUGUACAAGUGUUCUUUUAUACCAUAAACGAAUGAUUUUGAGCUUAAAGGUACUCUAAAACUAUUCAACAAACUAAACGUCUGAACAAUUCCAAACCGUUGGUGUAAGUAUUAUAGAAAUUGAUCUCUCUUCACUCGACUAAUAAUACAUAAGAAUAUCACUAGACUAAUGCAAGUUGGUAAUAUAUACGUGUUGCGUGUAAACCCUAUAUAUAUACUUCAAAGAUGCUCCUGUUACAUAUUAAAAAAAUAAAAAACCAAAAUUUAUGAAAUAUGUAUUUAAUUCGCGUUAUCAUUCGGCGCCAGAAUGACUUAUACACCAUGUUAUAGAUAACAAUUAUCAAUAAACACAUACAGCUUAUUUCAUUUAUUAAAAGUUGUAUCGAUUAGAUAUGUUUAGAAAAAUUGAUGGUGUAUAAACUAAUUAAUUAGUUUGUUUUUAAAUCUUGGUAAUUCAACAAGUAAUGAAAAAUUGAAAACGUACUAUCUAUUAUGAUAUGAUCUCAAAUACUUGCUAAUUGUGUUUGAUCAUGAGAAUGGAUUAAUACUGGUGACUUUUAGAGCCGGCUCAUACUAAUCAUAUUUUUAUCGUUUAUGUUGCUUUUAAGUGAUUAUUUACUAUUGGAUCAUAGUACAAGCACGACUCAGGAGACUAUCCAAGAGCCAAAAGUAUAACAAAACAGUUCGAGAUUACAAUAAUGUUAUUACGAAUAUACGAUUACGACUUUAACCAAAAAGUUCACAACACUUUUGAUUAAUAUAAGAAAGUGCAUGCAAAAAUUGUAGUACAACAGGUUGGUCUAGAUAAUGUAAAGAACUUACCUGAUCAUGAUUGUUUAAAAUAAGAAAAUCAGAAGAAAUUUAAGUCUUCUUUCAGGCUUUAACGAAAUAUAUAUCUAAUUCUCCAUGUACAGAUACAGAUACAACUUGUAUGCAUUCUUUGUUAAUAUUUAACCUGUGCAGUUUAUUUAUUAUUAUUACUAGAAGAAUACCCACGCUACGCAUGAGUUUUGUUUCGAAAAUUGUUAAAAAAAAUUAUGUUCAAUGUUUUUGCUAAUUUAUGUUUUUUUUGUUAUCGUGUUGUUAAUAAAAUUAGAUUCAUCUUACGUAGUUAUAAUUUUUAUGGUUACAUUUAUUUUUUGAUUUGAAAUAUCAAUUUAUAUAUUUUUCAUGUAUAACUCUGAUUGUUUAUAUAUAUAAGAUCCUAAUAUUUUUUCAUUAUCAUGACUACACACAACAACAAUAUAGGAUAUUUUGAUACAGUGAUAUAUAAUUAUGUUAUUUGUAUGGUUUGAAACUUGUCUAACUUAAUUAUAAAUAAAAAAAAUUCAGUGCUCUAUGCACUCUCCUGAUCUAGUACUCCGGCCACAUUAUGAUAGGCUCAUUAUUAGAUACUGGAUUGACAUUAUUUGAACAAGAUCUCAAGAGUUUUCAUAUGAAAAGAAUAAAAAGAAAUCAAAAAUUAAAAAGUUAUUUAAGUCGGCACUUUUAGAUCUUCUACCAUUGCAUAUAGUCAUAUAAAAUAAAUAUUCGUGUUUUGAAUUCUUGGGUAUGUCUAACAUCUUAAAGAUCUAUUACUUGAAAAUUUUUGCAUGCCAAUGUUACCAACUUACAAUGAGACACAAAAAUAAAAAAGAGAUGAUCAUAUGAUAAAUCGUAUAUGAACCAUAACACACUACAAGAAAUUUGUUCAUUGAUAGCGCUAAAAAUAUGCUAUCUUACGUUAUAGAUAGCGAAUUCACAAACGCUAUGUUCUCGGCAGCUAUAGUAGGUAUCACCCAUACAAAAGCAUUUUUUGUCGUGCUAUUAUAAGUCCUUCUAGUAUAGCACUAAUCGAAUGCUUUAAUAUAAUUUUUUAUAACUCAUAAUUUUUGCUAUAUUAUAUUUUUGUGUAGCAAAUUUUAUGUGCUACAUUAUAAAAUGAUGAAUUGCAAAAUUAUUUUAAAUCUAUAAAUUUAAAAUCCAAAUAAUUAUAUGCUACAAAACCAAUUUGUUGAAAGCACAUUUCUUUUCAUAGAUCAUCAAAAAAUACAUAAUUGUAAUUUUACAAAAUAGUUCAGCAUUUAACACCAUUUGUUAUAAAAACAAAGGUCAUAAACAACGUCAUAAGUACUGCAAUUCAGAUGGACUAAACAAAGAACUCCAUUGGUUUGCUCUUUCCCUCCCUCCAAGGACUUAGGAUGAUGUCUCAUUCCAAGCAAUUCUCAUUUCACUGCCUUCUCUAUAUCCUCUGCAGUUCAGUUCUCUUUUUGAAGUUGGAUGUCUUUGUAUGAGUAAAAGCAAGUGACUUUCUCAAUUACUUCUACAAGAUAAUGGCUAGAAAACCGUGAGAAAAAGAGGGAACCUGAGAUUCAUGAUGGUCUUUUUAGCAUCAGACUUCAAAGACAAUCCAAUGACCUAAACAGCUUCUGUUGUAGCUUAUUCACCAGCCUUAAAAAAAAUAUUAAAAGAAACUUGCCUUAGCCUUCUGGACCAUGCUUCCUUUGUUCUUGUCUUUCAUUCCCACAGUCAACAACGUUAACACCUCUGUUGGCAAACAUGGAACAAAGGGAAAACAGAUUACUGAAUUAUGAUUUACAAAAAAUAAACGUUGAUGAUAAGAAAGGAAAUUUUACUUACUCUUCUAUGUUGCUAGUCCAUUGUGCUUCAGGAUCGUAGAGAUUGUUACCACAUUUGUGAUUGCUAAAUACACAAAAGAUUAGAUUAUACGUAUAUAACACACAAGACGAGAAACAGAUCUAAACAAGAUUAAGUGAUAGUAAGAAUCUAUACCCAUUCCAGGUAUCACUCAAACUCCACUUCAAAAGCCUUUCUUUAUCUCCUGCUUUCUCAAUGAAUCCAAGCACAUGAGAGUACAAUUACUAGCUAGGACUAGUAUUAACCUUUUGUCCCUUCACUGUCAAAAACAGAACCCAUGUAAGUUANNNNNNNNNNNNNNNNNNNNNNNNNNNNNNNNNNNNNNNNNNNNNNNNNNNNNNNNNNNNNNNNNNNNNNNNNNNNNNNNNNNNNNNNNNNNNNNNNNNNCCUGAAAAUUCAUAAACUAAAACCUGUAACAGAAAAUCAAAACCUGCAGCCAUCAAUCUGGAAAGCUAUUUCCACUUCCACAAUCAUCAGAAGCCAUAAAAAACAGACUCCAAUAAAGGAUCAAGUAUGAAACAUUACCAUUAACAUUACAAAUCUGUAGAGUAAUCGUUAUCUAAGUCGCAACAACCUAGACUAAAGUAACCAAAUUAAAUUCUUAAAGAUCACAUCCUAACAAAUCUUAAUAGAGUACACAUGAACCAUUUGAAGCAGCAAUGAGAAAACGAGAAAAGUAACGACAUCUUAAUAGAGUAAACAUGAACAAUUGCAAACAUUUUUCAAAGACUGCACAUAUAUACCAAAGAGGAGACAUUGCGACAGUCCAUAAAUAAGGCAUGGUUUGCUUGAAUCCUAAGAACUACGUGAGUAAAGACUCCAUCAUGUUCAUUGAAAAAAAAACAAAGAAAAAGCGGAAAGACAGACCUCUCUUGGUUAUUUCUUGAGCUUUGCUCUCUUGCCACUCUCACUAAAUGGAAAAGAGCUCUGGAAGUAUUUGAGGAUUCAUUGUAUCUGGGAAACAAGUAAGAUAUUAGAGUAGAAAAAGGGAGAGUUCUAUGAUGUAUGAAAAUAGAUAUGUAAAAACUCACUAGAAGAACUCGAUGGAGACUUUUUGCUUUCUAAAUCGAAAUCAUUAUCUCACUGCUAAAUCAAUCUAACCCAAAUUCAUCUACAAUUGCUAAUAAAUCUAGUGAAUCCUAACAAAAUCGUACAUAUGGAGCCGAGAGAAAGAGAAAGACGGGAGUCGGAGGGAGAAGGAUUAAGCAAUUGAUCGAGAAACCUUUCAGCUACGAAGAACCAAGCGACGAAGAUGGUUUGGGUUUCACCUACGUUUCAGCCACCGAAAUUAAAUUUAUGGUUUAAGGCUAUCUCAGACCACCGACGAAGAUGGAGACUGAAGAUUUCAUCAAAUUGAAGAAGAAUAAGAUAAAUUUGGGGAUGAAAGCGAGGGUGACAAAGAGAUAAUGGAUCUGAAAUCUGAAGCGAAACUGAUAAAAUCUAAUAGAUCUAGGGUUGCAUAAUCAGAGGAAGAGAGUAAGCGAGAGAGGAGAAAAGAAGAAUAGAGAGGUAUAGGAGGAGAGAACGAUGAAGGAGAAGAAGAUAGAAAUUAGGGUUGUCUCUUAAUAAUUUAAAAAAAAAAAAUUUUUUGCUAAAGUGUUAAGCGGUUUUUGUGAAAUAUUUGCAAAGUUUUGGCGGUCAUAAGUGAUUCUACGUCUCUUCUUUGCUAUUAUAGGGCUUAGCAUUUUUCAAAUGCUACGAUAUAGUUACAAAUCCCUCGAUAUCAUCUUUAAUAGCAUUUGCAAAAUCCGUGCUAUCCGAAUAUGCUAUCAAUGCACACUUUUUUUGUAGUGACACGUAAUCAUGAGAAAAGACUCAAGGUAAAAUUAUUAAAUUAAUAAGAUGUUAGGGAACAAACAGUUAAACUAUAGCACAAAUAAAUUUUCAGUUAUUAGUGACCAUUGAUAAAAACAAAUUAGUAAAAUCAGAAGAGUAAAAUGAAAAUAGUGUUUGAUUUAUUAACAUAAUUCUAUAAUUUUCAUAUAUUGAAGAAAUAAAUUAAAAGUAUGAUUGAUGGAUGAUUUAAUGCAAUAAAGAACUUUUCUGAUUUUUUCAUUUAAUUUUGCUAAUUUUUUUUAUUUAAAUAAUGUAAAAUGGCACAUGUCAUUUUCUUGUGUUAUGAUGUGACACUCAUAUGGAGAGAGUUGGCCAACUUUUAUAUAUAUGUUUUUUUUUGUUAAGAAAACUUGUGUAGUUGUACAAACAAUAAUUGGAAUAUUCAUUGUCCUAGAUUCAGGUUAUCAGACCCCCUAAACAUUAAUGUCUAUGGAAUGCUUGUAUAGCUGUAUAUUCUCCAGUUUAAUAGUAUUGAUCAGCCUCGUAUUUAAACCUUAUACUAUCUAUACAUCAGCAUAAUAUAUACCUUAAACAAUUACAAAAUAUCUCAAUGCUUCUAUGGAUUUCAGCGAUAUAUAAGGGAGAGAUUAUUGGUUCAUGGAUUUAUAAAGAAUUGGAAAUUCAAACAAAAUUUAUUUUUUAUUCAUUCAUUGAUUUUAAAAUCUUAACUAAAAUCAUGUGUUAUUAGUUUUAUGAUUUAUAAAUAUUACUUAAAAUCAUAUGUUAAAAUCAUAUGUUUUAAAUGGAUUUGAAUGGAUUUGAAUGUAUUUGAAAGAAAAAAAAAUAUAAGGAUUCAAAUCCACAUAUUAUUUCAAAAUCCAUAUUUCUUGAUUUCAUAAUUAAUAAAGAUUUUCAAAUUCUAUAUGGAUUUAUAGAUCAAUAAACUAAUGACACCCCUUAGUUUUAAGAGUCCCGUUGAAUUCUAAGGUAAUCAAAUUUAAACUGUAGAAUAUGGUGUGAUAUGAUUGUAGUUUAAAAUUUUUGGUUCUUUUAAUUAAAAUAUAUACAUAUGUUUUUUCUUUUUCAAAUAAACUUACGUUCAAGUUAAACUGGAGAAUAAGGUAUAUAUUUAAUCAAAAUGUAUACAUAUGUUCAAAUUAUUUCAUUUUGGGUUUGGUUUCCACUUUUUAGGUACGUAUUUUUUUUUUUUUCGACUGAAUGAUUACCAUUAGAAUAAGCCAAGGAGAAUUACAAGGUAGAAUACGUUUUGAAACACAGGACCGACAAGAGUCGAAACUCAUUCGGAAACGAAGCCGGCGGAAGACAUAAAUAUCCCCGGAAACAAAGCCCAAAAAAGGGAAGCAAACUAUAAACAUAAGGCAAAAGAAGGUAAGCCCAAAAGGAACCUAAGAACUAAAUCUGAAACUCGACACCAUCAUAACCCACAAACAAUCCCAGGGAACCAGUUUACGUUGGAGCUGAACCAAGAAUCAUGAGCCUCAAGAAGAAACAACCAAACAGACAAUCUCCCACAAACCGGAGAACCCGAAGAAGAACGAAUCCGAGAACUCAACCAGCCACAGCCCGACAGGACAGAGAGCAGGAACAAUCCGAUAACAGAGCACAGCAACAAACACCAAUACGCCUCCUCCAUCCGGGGCAUGAGCUCGAGCGAAGCUAGGCACAAAGAGAAACUUUGAAAUAGGCCGGGGAUAAGUCAAAGAGGAUCACCAACGCUUACACGCGGACAAAGCGAACCAAUCAAUGCCACCUACAGACAAGAACCGGUCACGACCUCGCAAGAGAAGAACUAGAGAACGAAACCACUGCUGCGCCGUGAACCCAACCACAAAAACCGAAGACGGCUUCAGAGAAAAGCUAGUAGAUGCACCUGCAGCGAUGUACCAUCCGAGUGACAAACCCCAAACACGAACCGAGCCCACCAAAGAACCACACGCAAUCAAGAGGAAGCAACCGGAGCAGAAGAACUAGGAUCCCAAAACAGAGAAUUAAUGCGAGCAUAGCCCUACACCGGAACGCACAGCAAAGCCAUACAAUAAGCCGUGGAGAUAGAGCCAAAAACUAGCCAAACAUAACCUCUACCCAGGCCAAAAGCACCAACGAAACCUUCAACUCAAACAACUAGAUCUAUAGCAAACACAAUCAAGGAAAAGCGAAAGAUAAGAGGAAACAUGGGAGGCGAGAGGAAAAAACGGGCCACCGAGAACCAGAGCCGCUGUAGUUCAGAACCGAUGAAAGGAGAUAGACAAAGCCUCCGAUGCUCCAAACACAAUGAAGCACUUGGAAUGAGACAAGAAGAGGCACCACACACAGAGGCGAUAGCGAGAACGGCGGCUCCAUUAACACCAUCUACCUAAAGGCCUUUCGAUUCUGAUCUCCAUGAACCAACCUCCAUCAAAUCUGAGAAUCUACGACAACCCAAAUCGUCUCGCCAAAACCACCACGUUUCCACAAUCGAAGAGAGCAAAGACAAGAAACUAAAGAGGAGACCGACGCUGACGCUGUAGGAGCCGCCACGCGCCGGUCAGACCUGAGCCAAGAAGGAAAGGUUGAAGACGGCGAUUAGGUUUGACCACCCAAAAUGUUGUGACCAAGACUAUAUUAUAUCAGGGAGUUUUUCUUUGAUUUUUUUUUUUUUUUUUUUUUUUUUUUUUUUUUUUUUUUUUUUUAGGUACG